RNAcentral lists this long non-coding RNA (77344 nucleotides) under Citrus sinensis (sweet orange). Its description in RNAcentral is "long non-coding RNA (CSIN_LNC001928)". The record is from RNAcentral. Lineage: Eukaryota; Viridiplantae; Streptophyta; Magnoliopsida; Sapindales; Rutaceae.
AACAAUGAAGGCUUUGAGGAAGAAAUCAACUUCACCAACGAGAAACCAGGAUUACUCUUACCGUACUAGCACUGUUGCAGCUGCUUAAUCAUUAGUAUAUUAAGUCGUUCUACAAAUAUUGGUAUAUUUUUGAUAACCCAUAAGAAUGGAUAAAGAAAAAAAAAGUUAAAGAGGAAAUGAAAGAUAUGAAGGAUCUAGAAAAGAUGGCCAAGCCAAGAUGAGACAAUAGGAAGAAGAGUAGGAAGAUGAUGACUCUUCUUUUAAAUUGUUUCAACUGUGAAUAUUCUGAUGAUAUGCAAGGAGUUUGUGUGUUGCCUUGAUGUAAUCUCGGAGAUGGCUCUCUGUUUUUCUUCUUUUUUUUUGGGGGGGGGGGUCCUUAUUUUUCUUUUUCUAGAUUUCUUUUUAUUUUUUGUUUUGGUUUGUAGCACUACUGAAGCGUUGGUGCUCUACGCCUCUAAUUAUGAAAUAUAUAAAUAACAAGCGCCUGUUACAUAGAAAAAACGAAGAAAAAGUUUGAUGAAUGUCAAUGAUAGUAUCGCAUGAUAUAGCUUUCCUUGCAUCAGCUGUUUUCUCAAUUUCUUUACUCUAUUUGCUUUCAAGAUUGCUCUGUUUUGUGUAAUGCUUUAAUGGAUCUUUCAACAGUGGUGUAUUUAGUAAAUUUGACGGGGAAAUUUGUUAAAUUUAAUAUUUUUUUUCCUUGGAAUUAAGAUUUUGCAGCUUCUCUUUUUUGUGUGAGAGAGAGACUUUUCUGGCAAAGCAGGUAGAAAGUGGAGUGUGGAGUUUGUGAAAGAGGGUAUUGGUGAAAAGCAUCGCCUCGCGUUAUAGUAGUAAGUUGUCUGAUUAAUUGCGAAACUUGAAUGAGUUUGUGGGCUGUUAGAUCUUUUCAAACGACUUGACGAGCAUCAAAUUUCUUAAAGAGCACUGACAAACGAAUCAAAAUCAAAGACACAAUUUUUUUUGUUUUUUAGCAAAUUUUGAAUUUUUUUUUAAAGACAAAUCAUUAAAGAAAAUUAUAUAAAUUUCAAAACGGCAAAAAUUCUGUCGUAUUUGAUUAUUUUUCAUUUCUUAAAGAAUCUUGUACUUUGUUAUGGAGUCUUUCGUCAAUCUUCAUUUUAAUUUCAAAAAAUACCGUUUUAACCUUUAAGUUCGAAAAUGAAAUUUACCGUUUUAGCUGUGGCUGGCAAGCAAGUGGCAAUACGCCUUCUGUGAUCUGGGCUGUUUAAUUUUGGACGUGGGCCUCUUGUAAACAGUUGCUGUUGUGGACCCUUGGAGAUCAUGGAGAGAAAGUACGUGCCUCCCAUCUUCUUCUUUUGCCCAAUGCCCUGCCAUAGUUGAAACAUAAAGUAUAUGUUGUGUCUUUCUAAGUAAAGGAAGGAUGGGAUUAUUAAUUAAAAUCCUUAAAAAAGCAAUUAAAACAACGUGUCCUCCCCAGCACGAGAAACAAAUUAACAUUUCCCGCCUUCCAUAGGUAAAGGAAGGAUGUCCUUCACUAGGAUUAAUUAAGACAAUUUUGUAUUAUGUAUCCUUAAAUAGCAAAACACAAAGCUCAAUUUGCUAUACUUGUUACAUUAAUGCUAAGUGGUUUCGUUCCAAUUGAUAUCACUUAUUGGAUGCGGGAAGGUUGAAUAAAUAAUUUCACAAAUUAUGAAAGUUUGCGAUCCAGUAUAUAUUAAUGACACAUCACUUAGGAUAUUGGUAAGAAAAUGUACAAUUAUUAAUGCAAAAUGUUUAUAUAGUGCACAUUUGUCACCAUUUCAAUAUACACACUCAUAUUUAUACAAACUGAUAUGACAUGUUAUAUAAUUUUCACGUCUCAUCUGAUUUAUAUUCUUUUAUUUCUUUAAAAUUGUGAGGCAUGUACAUUAAUGGGAUACAAUUGAUUUUGAUUUCAGAUCCUACAGGCUCAUGAGAACGACUUAUUCUAUUUUGAUUUUCUAUUUUGAUUAUAAUCCAUUCCAAUUCCUAGUACGUAAAUGCAGAGUAUUAACUGUUUGAAAUUAUUUUGAUAAGGGGCAAAAACUAUUAUUAUAAGACAAGCAACUAACUUGUAAACUCCUGGAUUAAUUGCAAAGACCAUUUCUGUUACUUUUAGUUCAAGUCAGUGUUGUAGUUUUAUCAAAGUAGAGAAAUUAAAUUAUGAACAUAUGAAUAUAUACGCAUUGCUUUCUGUGACUCACUCGUACAAAUGACGUUAUGUUGAUCAUAAGCACAGUGUUACGGUAGGCUGUACAGUACGUUUCGAGAUUUGAGAAUGUUUGCUGGGCCAUUUAUUCUAACAAAAUUAUCAGAACAAAUUAUCCUUCACAUCAGCCGCAGCUUCAUUGCUAAUCUACUAAUGUUCUUCAGGGGAAAUCACACCGUAUAGGGCAUUAGCGGACUCCCAUGCCAAAUUAUAAUUCACAUACGUUGCAUAUAUUUUCUCGUAUGUUCCUUCCACAAUCGAGCUCUCUCUUCAUCCUCAUGUUGAUAAGAGCGUAGCAUUUCAUCACUAGCCAUUUCUUUUGCAGUCAUGCCAACAACGGUCUCCGGCUUGACCUGCCCAAAAAGGACUUUUCUUCGGAAAUCUGGGUUCUUAGGAUCCUUGAGGUUACCCAAGACAGCUCUAUACUUGAUCUUAUAAGGCCCAUCAGAUCGGCCCCAUUUCUCAAACAUUGCAGACUCCAAUGCUAUUGCAACUCGAACUGAGUCACAUGCAUUCACUUCAUCUCGAAUUUCUUCGUCAGCCUCACCAGAAACCUUGGAUAAAGCAUCACAAACUUUUUCCCUCACAACCUCCCGAAAACAAUCAUUGCAUCUAAUCUUAGAACUGCUCAACUUAUGGAGAAUGAUGCCAGAAGCUUCUCCCUCUUCUGUAAUCGAAUUUCCAACAUUGACAUUAUCCGCCGAAUUGGUUUCCUCUGUUUCAACAAUUUCUGAUCUUACUACAUUCGAGGAGCUGGAUGUAGAAUUCUGAUCGACUUUCUGAACCUUGACAAUUCCAACACCAGAGAUCUCCUGACACUCCUCAGAGGUCCUCUUAUCAACCUUCUCUAUUUUUGCAGGCUCAGUGUCGCCAGGGAUUGUACAGCUUCCUUUUUUCUCAUCUCUUAUUUGCUCAAGAAACAUAUCUCUCCACGACACAAUCAAGUCAGAUGCAAAAUCCUGGAUUUUCUUCGUUGGAUGUUCUGUCAGAGGUAGAAGAUACCUUACAAGCUGAAAUGAUAUAUAUACCAAUAGAUCAAUUCCAGGAAGUACCAAAGUAAUUAAAUGCAUUCAGUCUAUGCAAAUUGAUAAUUUUUGUGAAGCUGCACAAAAUAAAACACCAAGGUACAAAACAUGAUUUCCUUCCACAGGCAUUUAGCAUAUUGACCAUACUGCUCUUUCUUAAUGUGAAGCAGAAAAUGAGUCAUGAAAAGACGAAAAAUCAAACUGUUGGAUGAGAAGUAUUUGAUCUUUUUGCGACUCUCUGUACGAAUGAUACUGACCUAGAUUCCGCAAUAGCGCAGACAUCUCAUAGGUUUGGGGCAUUAGAAAAGGGAAUAAUCUGCUCAUGUUAGAUAGUUCAUUGACAAUGCUAUAGAGAGCGAGGAAUAACACCUGCGUUGAAACAAGAAGCGGACAGGUGAUAUCAGACUUGUUGAGCUGAUCCAAUGCAUCAAUGCACCAUGCGGUCCAUGCUUUCUCCGCCUCACCCUCAGCCAUUACUGCCGCUUCUGCCCCUCUUUUUGCCUCUUCACACAGCUGCAUCACCUUUUUCUCCAUUGCUUUUUCCUCCACCUCUUCUUUCUUAAGCAGUUGAAAAGACAACAAAAUUAUAACAAGCGAAAAUAUUAAUGAAUUAUUUCUUGCCAAGAAGUAAACAUGAACUUAACCCAUAAUUAUUUUGAUGAACGAUAUUCAUAAACUUGUUAUUUCACAUUUGCAUAUAUGAAUCGACAGCCACAAUGCAAAGACAUAGUUUUUUUCCUUAUUCAUUUACCUUAAAAUCUGUAGCCUUCACCACUGAAAUAAGGAAUAGAACCACGUUAUAAAGGUUAAAUACAUUUUGUAGUAUUCGAUUAUUUUACUGACUCUAUCAUGUAAUUUUCACCCAUUGCGGCAAUUCAAGUCCAGAAGUUUAUAUAAAGUGAAACACCCAUCCCGAAUAAAUAAAUAGAUAAAAUUAACCUAAAAAUUGAAAAUGAAAAAGAAAGGGGUAAUUGAAUGCACUCACAAUUUCCAUUGAGCGGCGCCGGCGAGUGACUGCUUCUGACAGCUUUGUCGAGCCGUGGUAGUCCAGAAGUUAAUAUACAGUGAAAUACCCAAGCAAAAAAGGGUUUCUUUGUGUUAACGUGCUAUUUUGAAUUAUUUAAUGAGAAGGUAGAUUGGUCUUUUUGUAUCAAAGGUCUUUUUGGUCCAAUUCACAAUAGUUCACUCCGUAUCCGUAUGUAUGGGCCAUGGGGGGGACAGUAUUGUGUCAUUUGCCAUGUGAGGUUUCUUUUAUCCAGAGGUCAUGUGAAGUUAAAACACGCAAUUACCAUGAACCACUAAGGGUUUGUUUAGUAAUAUUAUAUUUUAAAAAUAAUUAAUUAUUAUUAAUUGUACUGCAAACAUAAUAACUCUAAAGAGAAUUCAUUAAACCUAAACAGGAAUUCAGAUUUUCUCUCUCAAUUCCAGGAAAAAUAUUUAAGGUAAAAUCUGUUUGAAAUCAAAAUUUUUAAAUCAGAAUCCUCCUCACAUACUUUAUUACUUUCUUCUGGCCUAGACCUGUCACCAUCGGGAGUACUUUUUAGUUGGGAUUCAGGAUUAACCAAAGUCAUUGUCUUAUAACUUAUGUAAUGAAACUUUAGGUAUCCUCCUGAUCCCUGAACCCGAACUAAAAGGAAUUCUGAGACAUUCUCUCGGGGCCUUCAAAGCCACCUAUAGAGAUCAGAUCAGUCGCCUUAUCAGGUCCUUAUUUUUUUCAUGCUUUCUUAUAUCAUUAGCUGAGUUUGUAUGGUGAUAUAUAUUGAAGCAAGCGUGGUCUGUAUUAAAAGUACUGAUUUUUAUUUGAUUUCUUCCCUUUUCUUCUCAGAUGCGACUUAUGGGUUUGUAGUUUUUUGUCAAUUAAUUAAAUUAAUCAGAUAAUUACAUUUAGCUGUACAUCCUGGAACAUUAAUUGUAUCUAAAUCCUUGUUCAUCGAUCUGGGUAAUUUUCUAAAAGACAGUUUUAUUUUUCUUAAAUAAAUUUACAAUAUCACCACGUUCUGGUUUCCCGUAGGAGGCAGAUGGAGUCUCUCCCUCAGAGCAUAGGCUACAUUCCUAUAUUUAUUUAUAUUAUGCUGGUAUAGAUUUUAUGUCUUCACUGCUGUACCGUACAUCCGCCUUGGCCGUACAGCAGNNNNNNNNNNNNNNNNNNNNNNNNNNNNNNNNNNNNNNNNNNNNNNNNNNNNNNNNNNNNNNNNNNNNNNNNNNNNNNNNNNNNNNNNNNNNNNNNNNNNNNNNNNNNNNNNNNNNNNNNNNNNNNNNNNNNNNNNNNNNNNNNNNNNNNNNNNNNNNNNNNNNNNNNNNNNNNNNNNNNNNNNNNNNNNNNNNNNNNNNNNNNNNNNNNNNNNNNNNNNNNNNNNNNNNNNNNNNNNNNNNNNNNNNNNNNNNNNNNNNNNNNNNNNNNNNNNNNNNNNNNNNNNNNNNNNNNNNNNNNNNNNNNNNNNNNNNNNNNNNNNNNNNNNNNNNNNNNNNNNNNNNNNNNNNNNNNNNNNNNNNNNNNNNNNNNNNNNNNNNNNNNNNNNNNNNNNNNNNNNNNNNNNNNNNNNNNNNNNNNNNNNNNNNNNNNNNNNNNNNNNNNNNNNNNNNNNNNNNNNNNNNNNNNNNNNNNNNNNNNNNNNNNNNNNNNNNNNNNNNNNNNNNNNNNNNNNNNNNNNNNNNNNNNNNNNNNNNNNNNNNNNNNNNNNNNNNNNNNNNNNNNNNNNNNNNNNNNNNNNNNNNNNNNNNNNNNNNNNNNNNNNUACAUUCCUAUAUUUAUUUAUAUUAUGCUGGUAUAGAUUUUAUGUCUUCAUUUACUAAAUUAAUUUGCUUAUCUAACUUGCCUGUUUGGAUCAACUCUCUCAGGUAGCACCUGCAUUUACAAAAAAAGCGAAAGAAAAAGAAAGAUGAGAUCCGAGGGUGAUCACAUCAACGAACUCCCGGAUGAUAUUCUUGUAAAUAUUUUGUCUCGCUUGACCAUGAAAGAAGCUGUAAGGACCAGCAUAAUAUCAAGUAGAUGGAGAUAUUUGUGGAGAGGUUUCAGUGGCUGUUUGAACUUUGACGAUCCCUUCACCAUGGCAAACUCAAAGUGGCCUCAUUUGAAUUUGAAAAGUGGGCCAAUAAAUGUAGAAAGGCAUAAGUUUGUCAAUUGGGUCAAUCAAGUGUUGAGUUCACUUGAAGGUCAUUGUACCGAAGAAUUAAGGAUUUGCUUUGAUGUGUUCUCUAACCACGAUAUCGAUAACUGGAUCAAAUUUGCAUUGGAAAGGAGAGUUAGAAGACUUGAGUUGGAUUUCUCAAGAGUUGUGUAUAAUCUUCGGUUUGUUGGCCAAUACACAUUUCCAUCACAUCUUGAUUUUUAUUCCAGCUUUAGGCAUCUUACAGACCUAAGUUUGACAACGGUGGGCAUAACAGGAGAGGUUCUUGAACAUUUGUUAUGUUAUUGCUGUCCUGUUCUUGAAGUGCUAAAUGUUGCAGAGUCAAGCAGUCUUACGAGCCUUAAAGUGUCUGGUCCAUCACUUAAGUUGAAACACUUGAAAUUAAACAAGUUGGACAACUUGAAGGACCUUCAACUUCAUGCCCCGAAUCUCUUAUCUUUUGAAUAUUCAGGGCCAAUACUACCUUUUUCUUUCAGAAAUGUCCCGAAUCUUGUUGACGCAUCCUUUUGGGGCUGCUUUAGUGCAUACAUCGCGAAGAACCUAUGCCAGCAUUCUAUUUUUCUUGUGCAGCUACACACUCUUAAAUUGGACACGUGUCAUCUGUUGGUAAUUAGUUUUUUUGUUUGUUUUUGUUUUCAUUUUUAUUGAUUCCUUAUUGCCGCUGCUUUUGUUAAUUUUGUCUUCAAUAUUUUGUUGAUAUUGAUGCAUAAUAAAUUUGCUUCUUCCUUUAUUCAGAUUGGUGACAGUGAAUAUAGAGCAGGCCGCUACCUCCACGAUAUUCCUGAAAUGUGCAAUCUCAAGCAUUUGGAAAUUAUUGGAACGCCAAAGGUUAAUGACCUCAUUUUUUGUAUUGCUUUGUUGGAAGCAGCUCCUUCAUUGUAUAAAUUUUCUCUGAAGGUGAAUGUUAUUUAAUUUAUUAAUUUAUUAAUAGGUGGAAAUUAAUACCAUUUACUAAUUUAUGAUAUAUAUGGUUGUGUUUUUCAGUUAGUAUCACAAUAUGACUAUGAGAGCUAUGAAUCGGUCAAGACCAUCAAGGAUCAGCCGUAUUUAAGCUUCACAGAACUAAGAAGUAUUAGGGUGGUGGAGUUGCUGGGAUUUGUAGGACAUACAGCUGAUUUUGAGCUCGUAAUGUACUUAAUUUUCAGUGCGAAGCUGUUGGAGAAGAUUAUUAUCGACCCUUGUCCAACAUGGAGAGUGGGAACUCCAGCGGAAUUGAUCUGGAGGGAAACGGCGGAGUAUCAAUCCGCUAGAAGGCGUGCUUUUGAGUUGGCAGCUAAAUUUCCUUUAUGGGAAUUUGUGAUACCGUAAAUUAUUAUUUGUCUUCUUUUCUAAUUUGCUGUUUGGGUGGUUGGUGUGGUUGAAGAUAAGGAUUCUUUGCUCAUUUUAGAAUUUUUUUUGUCGAACACUAAAUUAAUGGUUAGAAUUUUUUUGAACACUAAAUUAAUAAUUAGAUUUACUUUACUUAGGAUGCGUUUACUUUUUGGAUUGAAUUGGAAAUCCUAGGAUUGGGAGUGUGGAGUGGGAGUGGGAGUAGGUUGUUUACUUACACUUGAAUGGAAGCAUAAAAUAGAGAUCAGAAUCCAAUUUAUGUGUUUACUUUAUCUUGGAUUGGGAGUAAAUAGUUUCAAAUUACAAUUUUAUCUUUAUUUAAAGAAUUAUAGUUUUUAAUUACAAAACUAAUAAAAAAUAUAUUUAAUGAAUAAUAUUUAUUUUAUUAUAUUUGUAAAUUUAUUAUAAUUAUUAAUAUUCUUAAUUAUGACCAAUAACUGCUGUACGGCCAAGGCGGAUGUACGGUACAGCAGUAGUUUGAGCCCAAAAACUAGCCGUUAUGUGUUUUCAGAUGACAACCGGCUUGCUGCUUUUGGAAUCUGGUUAGCCGCUUUUAUGUUACCGUUACAAUAAAAAUUUGAAUUUCAAAACAUCCGGCAUGCCGCUUACGAUAUCUGGAUAGCCGCUUAUGCUCCAGAAGCUUACUGCCCAAAAUUUGGAUUGCCGCUUACCAUAUCCAGUUAGCCGCUUGCUACAGUGAAAUAUUUUCUAAAAUUAUAGUUUGACCCCAAAACUUUAUAAAACUGUAUUAUGGCCCAAAACGUUAUGAAAGCUUUCAAAGAGGUCUAAUUUUAGAAUUUCUAAAUAAUACUUUGUCAAUCCCAAAAUUUUUGAAAUUAUGAUUUCACCCAAACUAUAUGAAAUUAUAGAAUGACCUAAUUUAUUAUUAUAUAAAAUAAUAAUAUAAUAUUAUUUAGUACAAAAUUAAUAUUUUCUUAGAAUAAACUAUUUAUUAUUAUUAAUAUUAAAUAAAUAUAGUACUAUUAUUUUUAAAAUAAAUAUAAUAAUAUUAUAUUUAUUAAUUCUCUAUUAAUAUAAUAAUAUUAUUUUAAAAUAAUUUUAACUUAGAAUCAAUGCAAAUUAUUAUUUAGUUAAAUAUAAUAUUAUUAUUCAAAUAAAUAUAAUAAUAUUAUUCAAAUAAAUAUAAUAAUAUUAUUCAAAUAAAUAUAAUAUUAUUUUAUUAAUUAUAAUAUAUUAAAUUAAAUUAAAAAUAAAAGGGUAAAAAAGGGAGAGGUGGGAGUGGAUUCCCACUCCCACCUCCCCCAAUGGGAGUCCCACUCCCACUCCCCACUCUAAAAAUGAGUGGCGCCCACGGAGUGGGAUUCCCAAUCCCUUCCCAUUUUGAGGAAGUAAACGCUGGAGUAGGAGGAAUCCACACUCCUCACUCCCACUCCAGCAAGUAAACACAACUUUAAUAGUCGCUUCUCUUUUUUUAUUAUCUAAUUAUUUUUUGGCAGAUUAUUAGAAAUUAAUUAUAGAUUUAUAUUUUAUUUUAAUUAUUACAAUCAACAAAUAUAUUACGAUAUUGUAUUAACUUUGAUACUGGAUGCAUAAAUUUAGGUACGGCAUAUAAAACAUGUCACACGUCAUCAUUAAAAUUAGAAACCAAUGGUCAGAUCUUCAUUAAACUCCACCGUUUGUGGUAUUUUAGAAACCAAUGGUCAGAUCCUACUGAUCUAGUAGCUUGAAAAUUGUUGUUUAAUUUGUGGGAUUGAACUUUUUAUUCGAUUUGGGGUCGUUUUUAUUUGUUAAAAUUAAAUAACAAUUAUGUAUAUAUUAUUUUAAUUUAGUCCAAAACAUACUAAAAUAAGAAAUUCCUUAUUAAAUCUAGAUUCUUAUGUUGAAAAGGCACUCGAAAUAAGCAUUAUUAUCGCCUUUUUAUUUUUAUGGGACCCUUUGAUUGUUAGUUUUGCAAGCUUUUCUCAGUAAAUUAUAAUUUUUAACCAUCAAACAUAACUUCACCUAAUCUUAGUUAUUUAGACAUUCCAAGUGUAAUAAGACAACCAUACUCAUACCACAAUUCAUAAAUUCAAAAUAAGACCACCACACUCAUACCACAAUCCAUAAAUUCAAAAGGAAAGCCAAACGUUCAGAAGGAAACAAAUAUCUCCGGGAACCUUUCAACAGAAAAAGUUUCAACCUAUGGCAAUCUUCAAUAGGAUAUACACACCCAAAGUAGAUUAUAUAGGAAUCUAAAGAAACAAGAAACUCAUAGAAUGGUAAAGCAAUCUCGAAGAAUUGCCCUUGAGAAACUUAGAUUAGACCUAAAGGAACAGGAAAAAAGAAAAAAAACGUCACAUUUUUCUAUAGAAAAAGAAAUAAAAUUCAAGCACAGGUGGAACGACAUACCUUUAACGUACUCUCUAUCUGGUGACACAAUUUUACGGCCAAUCUGUUUAUCAUAGCCUGAGUAAACAGUGCUGAAUCCUAGUCCACGUGCUUCUCCAGUGUUAAUAUGGUCUUCUAUGUUAUGUACCUGCCAAGAAUCAGCAUAUUUGAUUGCCAAAUUAAUUUCUAUCCUCUUCGGACCCCUUUGGAUGCGGAACCAACGCCACAUCUCUGUAAAUUGCUUGAAGUCAGACUCCCACAGGAAUUCAGCUCUACCCCAUGAGUCAAGCUUCUCUAGAAUUGCCUUCAACUCAUCCUUCACUGCCUCAAGUUGCGCUAACUUGCUUGAUUCUUUUAUUUGCUCUUCCAGCAUGGACUCACGCUGCUCCUUCACAUAUUGCUUCAAGACAACAAUUUUCACCCGGGCAGCGACAUCGUCCAAAAUUUGUUGCCGCACAGGGUCAUAUUGAUUUGCAUCUUCUUCCGGCAAAUCCUCCAAAAGUGCCACAUACGCAGCAUCUUCAUUUACUGCCACCUGCUACAUUAUAACAAGUGAUUCAUUAUUACUUAAAAAUAGACAACUACACAAGUAGUGAGAACACAGGUGCUGGAAGCACAACCAAGUGCAAAAGGGAGGAAAGAUCAUUAAGCAUAUCUCUAUCAAUUUCAUAUGAACAAUACCAUUGAACAGUCCUCUUCAAUACAAUCAAUAGAGGGUUGAACAUCUUCAAACCACAAAAAUUAUGGGUCUACUGUGAAUUGCAUUGAUAAGGUGAAGAGCAGAGACCAAAAAAAAUUAAACUGCAGACUGAAAGAUCCAGCGAUGUUAGCCUUUCACAGCUCAUGGAUGAUGGAACCCAUGAGAAUAUGUGAGUGAAAUCUUGCUAAAAUCCAAAUUCUUAAUUCUCUGGCAAAAGAACAAGAAGUGAAAAUGUGGAAUCUCUUUCUUCGCAAGGAGGCAAAUCACAAAAGCACAAGCAGGAUGAUUUGAACAGCCCUAGACCAAUUUGAAUAUAAAAUUACUAAAUUCUUAAUAUUAAAUGGUAAAAUGCAAACAUCAAACAUAUAAGCCUAGGUAACAAACAAAAAAUUCAUAGAGGGAAGAACUGAUUCAACUAACAUUCGAACGCAGGGAUUUUUUCACAUCUUGCAAGCGAUUUUUGACUUCCAUCUUGUGUUUUUUGUCGUCUCCGGACAUUGUUUCAGCCCACUUAGUCUUGUCUUGAAUUAUGGAAAGAGUGCUGUCUGAAAUGUCUAACCUAUAAUUUCCAAUUAAGAACUCUGUUACCCUCAACAAGGUCUCAUAGCAUGCAAUCAGUGAAAAUAGAAGAUGCAGACAAUUGUAUCACAGAAUAGGGAGAAAAUGUAGAUGUAGUACUCAUGAUAACAUGAUUGUCAAAACCAGGGUCACAUCUGACACAGCUUACUUUGUGGAUUUUUUUUUUAAAAAAAAGAAGAAAAAUCAGUGGGUAUCCAAAUCAACACCAUUAGCCAAAAGGUAUCAGUGACGAGGCAAACACAAUGGCAAAUCGCUGAAACCAUUUACCAAGCAAUUGGUAUAUAUCAUGGGAAACAAUAAAUGGUUAAAUUACUUGGAUAAUAUAUAAUGGGCAUGUUGGUAAGCAACAAGCUCUUACACAUGUCAAACAAAUUUGUAAGGUCCCUUUUAGCUACAUAUCAAAUCAGAUUUACAACUUAAAAUCAAAUAGAUGACAUGAAAAAAAAAAGAAGAGACCGAGGAAUACCAAUUAGUUAAUCUCAGCAUAAUGUUCUCAAGUUGGCCAGGUCUCACAUCCCUUCCUGCUGCAAGUUUUACCUGCAAAUAGCAUAACCUUCCCAUUAGGCAUUGGGCUGUUAAAUGUAUCUGAAAAAAGAAUUAAGCAAGGUGAAGUGUCUAACCUCAAAGCAUCUUCUCAACGGAUUCAACUUCCCUUUGACUAUCCCCUAUACAAUAAACAACAUACAGUUGUCAUAGUUUUCUACUUAUAAAUAGAAUUAAACAGCAUUUCAUUAUGCUGAAGAAAGAAAUACCUAUUUUCUUGGUGAAUCAGAGGGAAAAAAAUAAAAUGGUUUCAGCCAGACUUGUCCAAACUAGUUUUCACAAAUAUCGUUUCGAUUUUGAAAUGGUUAUGUUACUAGAUCAACUUAUAUUUUAUUAUUUUGUUAAAUUUUCAUGUUAAUGGGAAACUUGAUAUUUUAAUAUUCAAAUCUCUCAAGUAAGAUUCUCAAAUGGUCUGUAAAUCUGUUCAGAAACCAGACCAUAGAAACUAUGGUGGGCAGUAACUUGUUAACAUGAUAACAAGGGGUUCAAGUAAAGCCCAGGAAUGAAGAAGACUUACCACAAAUAUGCAUUCAUUGAUCAGAAAGUCUUCGAGUUCACGCACAUUAGCAAUCUCAAGUUCUGCCAUAAGUUGAUCGUAGGAUAGAUCCUAGGAGAGAGUUAAACCAAGUAAUAAAGCCAUAGCUUCAGAACUAAUUUACACAGAAGAAAUGACACAAAUAUAGCAUAUCGUAAGGUAGUAAAGAGAGAAAUUAAGAUAUGAAACAUUAAGUCAAAAAGGAAUGGACCACUGUCAUGGCCAAUGUUCCUUCCUAAAAUGUGUUACUCUUACUUACAUGGAGAAUCAAGUUCUAUCACAUGUCAACAGGCAGGUAAAUCAACAAUUCUAAUUAUUGUGAAGAGUUAGUUACAUUAAGAAACCAGAGGAAAAGAUCUCAACAAACAUUAAACUGGAUACCUUGUUUGUCUCAGCAAGAGUCAGCACACUAAGCUGUUUAAGCUUGACCGCUUGAUCUGGUACCAACUCUGGUAGAUGAGCUGCAUCACCUGUGCACAAAUGCAAAAGAUUGAGCUCCACUAAACAUAUUUGUCCAUAUGGCGCCUGUUCUUUUUUGCUUGCUUUAAAUUAUUUUACAUUUAGAGAAUGAAAAUCUUAAUAAAUAUAUUUAUUUAUUAUUGAAAAAAAUAAAAAUAAACGAAUAAAUAAAUAAAUAAACUCUUACUUUUGUAUUUGGUCCAUGUACCAUAAGCAAAAACACGAAGCAAGUCAAUGUACAUAGAACUUUCCGUUCCCUGAAGCUGCAUUCAUGUGAAAUCGUCAAUAAUGUAGUAUGAUUUUACACAUUUGAAUAACAUGAAGUAAGCAAAAAAAAUUGAUUUCGAGAAUGAAAGAUUCUUAAACUACGAAAUUUUUGAAAAAACUAAAAGUGCCUGAUGGAGAUUCGGGACGGAUAAGAUAUCAGAGAAGGCGAAGAGAGAAUGGUGAGAGGUGGCUUCGACUAUGAGUUUGACUAAAUCGGGGCCAUUAAGAGUAGAAGCUUGUUGUAUAAACUGCUCUAUUAUAGGUGCUUGUUUCUGCUCUAUCUCCAUUGAUUUGAUUUUGCUGCUUCCUUUCGGCGAAUACGAAGAUGAUAAAAGAUGAGGACGAAGAAAGUGUGUUUUACGAGUGAGUUCUUAAAAUUUUUGAAACUUUUUUGCCAGUGCGGUGUCCCCGGUUGUUUCGUAUACGGUUACGGGUUAUUUAUAUACACUUCAGACGCUGAGAGGCUAACGUGCACAGAGUGCAAGGAGUGCGUCACCAAUUUUAUCAUAGAAUGGGCUCGGUUUUGCCCAAUCGAAGCUAAAUGCUUACGAAUAAUUUUUUAAGCACCCGGACAUAGUUUUUUGCACCCAGUGGUAUUUUACAAUCUUAAACCUUUUUGUAAAGUAUCUGAUUAAACCCACGUAAUACACAAAUUAUUUUCUUGACUUAAUGAUUUUUCUGUUAUUUAUAUUUUCUUGUAUUAUCAAAGGCUUCAGCUAAAACUUACAAAAGUCCGAACCCGAAGUCUUAAACAAAUACGAAAAUCCAAUUCGACAAUUUUAGAAUACUAUUUUGCAAGGAAUUAUGUCUUUCACCUUGGGAGAUUUUAUUCAGUUAUCUUAAAUUUUGAAUAGAAAUAAAAAUUUCAUUAACAAGAAACAAAGUAUCAAAGUUUACAUCCGAAUUGAAAUGGAAUUGCAAUCAUCAAUGCUCCUAGUAUACUUUGCUAAUGCAUUAGCUAAAGUAUUACAUCUUCUAGAAAUAUGCCUAUAUAAAAAAAAUCUGUCACAAAGGUUAGAAUUUGAUUGAUCUAAGAGAUAGACCAACGCAAUUCCAUGGGAGUUGAGAAAUAGAAAUAAAUAAAAAUAAUAAUGAAUUUGGUUUGUUUUAGCAAAGAUGCAAGACUAAGAAAAAUAUGUCAUUAAAAAUCUUACAAGUUACAAGAGAGGGGGAAAAAAAAACGUACGUGUUAGGGUUUGAAGUUUUAAGUUUAAAUAAUAAAAAAAGGAAUAGAAAUGUAUAUGAUUUUGACAUUUUUUAACGGAAAUAUUAAGAAAUGGGCUUUGGAAGGUUUUCACAGGGUGCCAAUGGUCCGUCUUUAAUUUAAAACUUGAUUAACGAUAGGCCCAAUUAUUUUUAAGUCCAUUAAAAAUUUUUGUUCAGGAAGCUUUUGUGCAGCCAUUUGAUCUGCCGGUUACGGCCGACGUGGUCUCCAAAAGAGUUUAUCAUAGGAAUACAAAGACCUAGAUUUUGUUAAACUGAAUGUACAGAAAUUAACCAUUUAACUUUCCAUUAAAUGAGCGAACUAAAAUACUUCAUUAUAUAUAUGUCAAUUAAAAAGUUUCCUUCUAGUAUGCUAUCUUUCUCUCUGAAAGAGAACAAAAAGUAGUUUGGAGCUUUUAUGGCUUCAUAUCUCACUCAUUUAUUUUGAGUGGUUUUUUUUUUGUUGUCUUUCGUUAGUGGUUUAAACUGGGGGAGAGAAUUUAUGAGAGUGGGCAAGAGUCUUAAGACACGAGGGUUCCAAACACAGGGUAAGUGGUAGGUAUAGAGUUAAGCUGUGCCCACCCCUCAUGGACAUAGAGGAAUUAAUACGUAAAUGCAAAGCAAUCUUCAUCCACGAAGGCAACGAAUGCAAGUUAACCUUAAGAAGUGGCAUGGAAGAAAAGGGAGGACGCAUAAUGGCUAAUUCUCUUAUUGAGAAAAUAUUACUGACAAGGAGCAUACACACGGAAGGGAUCAGGAUUGCAUUAGUACAUGCAUGGAAAACAACAAAAGAGGUGAAAGUUGAAAACAUGGGCAACGAUAUCUUUAUUUUUAAGUUUGGGUUGGAAGUUGAUAAGCGAAAAGUAAUGGCUGGAGGGCCAUGACAUUUUGGCAGAGCAUUAAUUAUGCUUAAAGAGCCCAGCGGAAGUGGAAAUAUGAGGAAACAAGAAUUCACACAUGUAACCUUUUGGAUACAAAUUCACAAUGUUAUGUUAGUAUGUACGGAGCGAGAUAAUAUUCAGAAGCCAGGGGAAUUACUAGGAGAGGUGCUAGAGGUAGAAACUGAUGAUGAAAGGGAAUGUAUUGGCCCAUAUGCAAGAGUUAGAGUAUCCAUUGAUAUUACGAAACCAUUAUAAAAAAUGGUUUAUUUGGAGUUGGAUGUUGAUGAUGAUGGAGUGGAGUUGCCAAUACUGCAUGUGUUAGCCUAAAUGGCUAUACAUACUAUAAUUUUAAUGAUAAGAAACAUGUGUCUUAUUAAUAUGAUAAAUAUUGUAUUUAACAUUUUUACUAGUUCUUGAAGGACAUUAUUUAUGCAAGUGAAUCAAGUGAAAUCAAGGUCAAGACACUCAACGGACAACGGUGCGAUCAAGAACAAAGUUUAGCUCAACGGAGUCAUUGUUGCGAACAAAUUCUUGUAAAGUUGAUAUGAUUUAAUAUAUGUAUAAUUUAGCAUUUGAGAAACUCAUGCUUUUAUUUAAUAAACCCAAAGGUUUCAUAUUUAUGAAAUAAAGUAUUUUAUGAAUUUGAGUAUUUUUCAAAUUUUAGAUUAAAUUGAAAAAGUUUUGAAAUCAAUAAGCAUUAUCAAAAGAACCCUUUUAAGAAGUAUUAUAAAGUUUUGGGUCAUAGCAUAAUUUCAAAAGGUUUUGGGAAUAACAAGCAUCAUUUGGACCAUUUUGGGUUAUAGUGAAAUUUCUGAAAGUUUUAGAUCAUACAUUAAUUUUUAAAAGUUUUGAGCCAAAAAGUAAAUAUUAAAAAUAUGGGGGGGGAGACAUAGAGUUAGAGGCUAGCUGACAAUGGUUAGCGGCUAGCUGCCUAGGGCAAAUCUUCAAAUUUUCAAAGAUAAAAUUUACAAUAGCUACUUGCUAUUUUGUCUAUAACGGCUAGUUUUUGUGCCUAAACUCUAUAAACUCAAAUCAAAUUCAUUUUUAAAGACUUUCGCAAGCAUAAACAAGUGCAAACAAUAUAUUUUGAGCUUCCAAUUCGUAAAUUAUCAUAGAUUAAAUCUUUAUUGAACUAUUAUUUGUAUAUUCACUCUAAAAGAGAGUAUUUGUUGUAAUUCGUGAAUUCAUUGAAAAAUUUUUAAGUGUAUAAGUGUAAGAAACACUUGACUGAUGAGAUUGGUGGAUAAUCUCUUGUUGUAAAGGUCCAUUGAUAUCUUAGAAGUCAAUUGUAAACAUUUGAAGUCUUUGAAGGCAUGGAUAGUGAAAUUCUCAAGCUUUGUUUGCUUAGAGGCGUGGACGUAGGCGGAGAUUAUCGAACCACGUAAAAAUAUUUGUGUUUGGUCUCUAUUCCCUUACUCUUUUAUUUUUGAGUAUUGCUAAAUUCAUUAUUUUUUAUUUCAUUAAAGCAUUAGAUUAAAUUAUUGUGUGGUUUGAUUAGCUUAAAUUUUAGAAACCCAAUCUACCAUGCAUUUGGGUUAGAUGACUAGUAUUUUAAUAUGAAUGGCUCCUAGAUUUUUGUUUUUGCUAUGGAAUUAUUGGGUAUUAAUUUAAAGAGUGCUCGACAUACAAUGGACAACCAAAGGAAAAAAUGCUUUAUGAAGUUUACAUGAAGGCAUUGUCCAAAGUUGAGAAAACCAAGUUGAAUCGAGGAAUAGAUAUGUAGAACAAAAGGUUUGAGCAGUCACUCAAUGGAUUCAAAGAAGCAGAGCAACAUGGAAGAAGUCAGCAAUAACAAUCUGGUUUGAACCCCAAUGUAAAUGAACCCGAGUCAAACCAACCCAAUUCGGGGGAAAUUGAUGGCCAGACAAUUAAGACCGAUGAACUAUUAACACAAAUGACUCUUGUGUCAUGACCUAACCCAGACCUGACAAGAUAUUGUCUGCUUUAGGCCUUAACAAGACCUGCACGAUUUUAUUUCUGGGGCACCUAUACAUCAUAAAACGAGUCUUGCCAAUUAAGGCGUGGAUUACCCCUUAUAAACCCAACAUUUCUCCUCUGCUUUGCCGAUGUGGGAUCUGCCUAAGGUGUUACAUACACCCCCUUAAGGACUCAGCGUCCUCACUGAGGUUUGCCCCAUCAUCGCUCAAGAGAACAUGAGCAGCCGCUCUGAUACCAUAUCUCAUUACCCAACCCAAACCUGACAAGAUAUUAUCUGCUUUGGGCCUUAACAAAGCCUGCACGUUUUUGUUUCUGGGGUGCCCAUACACCCCAAAACGCGCCUUUCAAUUAACGUGUGAAUCACCAUUUAUAAAUCCAACAUCUCUUCUGUGCUUUGUCGAUGUGGGAUACGCAAAAGGUGUUACAUACACCCCUUAGGGACUCAAUAUUCACGUUGAGGUUUUCCUCACCAUCGCUCAAGAGGACACACGAAGCCGCUCUGAUACCAUUUGUCAUGACCCACCCAGACCUGGAAAGAUAUUGUUCGCUUCAGGCCUUAACAAGGCCCACAUGGUUUUGUUUUUUGGGGUGCUCAUACACCCCAACACGAGUCUUGUCAAUUAAUGUGUGGAUCACCCUUUAUAAAUCCAGUAUCUCUCUUGUGCUUUGCUGAUGUGAGAUUCGCCUAAAGUGUUACAUACCCCCUUAAGGACUCAGCGUCCUCGCUGAGGUUUGUCCCAUCAUCGCUAAAGAGGACAUGCAGAGCCACUCUGACACUAUUUGUCAUGAUCGAACCCAGACCUGACAAGAUAUUGUUCGCUUUGGGCCUUAACAAGACCGCACAGUUCUGUUUCUAGGGCGUCCAUACACCAUAAAAAGCGUCUUGCCAAUUAAGGUGUGAAUCACCCCUUAUAAACCCAUCAUCUCUCCCGUACUUUGCCGAUGUGAGAUUCGCCUAGGGUGUUACAUAUUGAACCGAGAAAGCAUCAAGAUAAUAGUCAGAAACAACAUGGCUUAGCAGCUACUGAAACUGUAGUUGACAGCAUAAAUGCUUAUGUAAAGUGGGGAAAAAAACGAGAAAAGAUAAUUGGGAGGACACAAGUAAAAAAAUUGGAGCUUAAGUUAGCGCUCAGCCCAAUUCCAAACACCAGCUCAAGUCAAGAGAAAGAAAUUUUAAAUUCAGAUGAGGUGGUGUAUGGUGGGCCCAGUACAAACAUCAUUAGGCCUAAGAGAAGAAAAUGGAAAUUACUGGCUAGAAAUGCAAGUAUCAAAGGGCAUAGCAAAUAAGGGUUAUUUGUUGGAAAAAAUGCAGUUUGUGAACCAUUAAAGCCAAGCCCAAAUCACAAAAGAACACGGAUCCAAAGCCCUCACAAAACCAAUACAACUAAAACAAGCUCCUGUAAUUUAUUUUCACCAAGAUAUAAACUGAACUGGGAUGGCUCGGGAAUAGAAGAAGAAANNNNNNNNNNNNNNNNNNNNNNNNNNNNNNNNNNNNNNNNNNNNNNNNNNNNNNNNNNNNNNNNNNNNNNNNNNNNNNNNNNNNNNNNNNNNNNNNNNNNNNNNNNNNNNNNNNNNNNNNNNNNNNNNNNNNNNNNNNNNNNNNNNNNNNNNNNNNNNNNNNNNNNNNNNNNNNNNNNNNNNNNNNNNNNNNNNNNNNNNNNNNNNNNNNNNNNNNNNNNNNNNNNNNNNNNNNNNNNNNNNNNNNNNNNNNNNNNNNNNNNNNNNNNNNNNNNNNNNNNNNNNNNNNNNNNNNNNNNNNNNNNNNNNNNNNNNNNNNNNNNNNNNNNNNNNNNNNNNNNNNNNNNNNNNNNNNNNNNNNNNNNNNNNNNNNNNNNNNNNNNNNNNNNNNNNNNNNNNNNNNNNNNNNNNNNNNNNNNNNNNNNNNNNNNNNNNNNNNNNNNNNNNNNNNNNNNNNNNNNNNNNNNNNNNNNNNNNNNNNNNNNNNNNNNNNNNNNNNNNNNNNNNNNNNNNNNNNNNNNNNNNNNNNNNNNNNNNNNNNNNNNNNNNNNNNNNNNNNNNNNNNNNNNNNNNNNNNNNNNNNNNNNNNNNNNNNNNNNNNNNNNNNNNNNNNNNNNNNNNNNNNNNNNNNNNNNNNNNNNNNNNNNNNNNNNNNNNNNNNNNNNNNNNNNNNNNNNNNNNNNNNNNNNNNNNNNNNNNNNNNNNNNNNNNNNNNNNNNNNNNNNNNNNNNNNNNNNNNNNNNNNNNNNNNNNNNNNNNNNNNNNNNNNNNNNNNNNNNNNNNNNNNNNNNNNNNNNNNNNNNNNNNNNNNNNNNNNNNNNNNNNNNNNNNNNNNNNNNNNNNNNNNNNNNNNNNNNNNNNNNNNNNNNNNNNNNNNNNNNNNNNNNNNNNNNNNNNNNNNNNNNNNNNNNNNNNNNNNNNNNNNNNNNNNNNNNNNNNNNNNNNNNNNNNNNNNNNNNNNNNNNNNNNNNNNNNNNNNNNNNNNNNNNNNNNNNNNNNNNNNNNNNNNNNNNNNNNNNNNNNNNNNNNNNNNNNNNNNNNNNNNNNNNNNNNNNNNNNNNNNNNNNNNNNNNNNNNNNNNNNNNNNNNNNNNNNNNNNNNNNNNNNNNNNNNNNNNNNNNNNNNNNNNNNNNNNNNNNNNNNNNNNNNNNNNNNNNNNNNNNNNNNNNNNNNNNNNNNNNNNNNNNNNNNNNNNNNNNNNNNNNNNNNNNNNNNNNNNNNNNNNNNNNNNNNNNNNNNNNNNNNNNNNNNNNNNNNNNNNNNNNNNNNNNNNNNNNNNNNNNNNNNNNNNNNNNNNNNNNNNUGAUUGAAGUGUAGUGUUCAACUUCAUAAGGAGAUGACAAUUUUUUUUUUCAAAUCAUAAUUCAUAAAGCAAUCCGGGUUUCAAACCCGGAAUUCGAAAACCCGUAUUUUUUCGGGUUGAACCCGUUCCGGACCCGUAUGCAGGAAAACCGAGUUUAUAUCCGGGUUCGGUACAAGAAAAUAGCAUCCGGGUCCGGAAUCAGAAAUGACGAACCUGGACCGGGACUCGGAUUUUUCCAUCCCUAGAUGAGAUGCACUGAGGUUUAUGGACAAAGGCUCAAGAAAAAAAGUCCGGGUCCCCACUAUUUUUUUAAAAAUAAAUUUAUAAAUUAGAAAAAUAUAAUAAAAAGUGACUCAAAAAUAAUUUAAAAAAACCUUAAAUUCUUAAUUUAUAAAUCAAGGAUGAUUAAAAAAAGUUAAAAUUAUGAUAUUAAACUCUCUUUUUUGAGUUAGUUAAUUAAUAGACUGUUCGAAUUAGAUAACCACUAUGAAAGAAAAUUAAAUUUAUGAGCUUUUAUUUGCUUUAAUUAUUAUUUUACUUUGAAAUAUUUAUUUUCUUUAAUUUCUUUAUGAUUAUAAUAACUUGUUGACCAUUAAUUUAUUUCAAAUUUAUAAUAAUUUAAAAAAUUUUAAAAAAUAAAUAAAGCCCAAGUCUGGCCCAGGCCCUCAGGCUUAACUUAAUGUGGGCUUGGGCCUAGGCUUGAAAAAGCCCAACCCCAGGUCCGCCUUUUGCCAUAUCUAGAAAUAACGCCCUUAAACAGUCACCGCGAAACCAAACAUGGAGACCAGCAGGAGGAUCUUGUAGAAUGCGUAAACCUAAAGGCAAAGUGAGGGUAAAGUUCGCAAGAUAAUCUACUACAGAAUUUGUUGGGGGUAAGAAAAUUUGUUGGGGGUAAGAAAACCUUUGGUGAAAAUCAUCGCAUAUAACCUAGGAACAUUCAUGUUAUAUUAUCAAAUAUCAAUAACAAAAUUAUGAGGAAGUGUAUCUGAAUUGAUAAUGCUUAAUUCUUCUCUAGAGUAGUGUGGUUGACUUUUUAGAUCUACACGUUCUCCUAGAGAAUCCUUUAAGUUUUCUCAUGACUCUCUCUCCCACUAUAAGAUUUCAGAAAGAAUAGAAAAAUAUGUGUGACCUGGGGACCAUAACUACUUAUUUUGACAACUUUUUCAUGUUGUCAUUGAGUAUUUAUAAUUUUGCCUAUUAUUGGAUUAAAAUACAAUUGAGUCUCUACACAUUAAAGGUCCACACCCUAUUAGAUACAUUAAAGCCCAUAAUACUGAAAACCUUAACAUAUCACUUUUAAUUGGAUUUAACCUUAUAUGACAGCCCGCAACAUAUAAUUAUUCACAUAUUAGUUAAUUGGAUUUAACCUUAUAUGACAGUUCGCAACAUAUAAUUAUUCACAUAUUAGCCCACCGUUGGAUUAUGAAUCCAACAGAAUUUGCUUCACGAAAGACAUGGCACACCGAGACAUUCCAACUACGAGAGAGUAGCUCCAAAAUGCCAUAAACCAGAGGAGAAGCUGCAUUGUAACGGCCAUCAGUUGGCUGAAGGAGUUUAACAGCACACAUGCUGUCAACCUCGACCUGGAGUCCCCUUAUCCCCUUAUUCCAGGGGAGAACUAGCCCCUGACAAAGACCCCAGAGUUCAGCCAUAGUAAUCGAGCACACACCAAUAUUCAUGCCAAAACCGAUAACCCAGUUCCCAUUAUAAUCUCCUGACCGCUACCAGAAGCUUAAUUGUGUAUAUAAUUAAAUGUAUACCAUCAUAGUCUUUUAUGAGGCCACCCAAAACGAUAUACGCUUGAUAAGGGAAUGAACAUUUAGUAAGGGGUGUUGGAGAGUAAGUAGUUGAGCCAUUGCUGGGCAGCUCCUUCGCCUCUUGUUUUGGUUCUGAUAUAUCUGAAAGCCGACAGAGGUCAACAACAACAACAACAACAACAACAAUAAUAAUAAUAAUAAGUGAAACGCAUCAAAGGAAAUAAAAUAUAUAUGAAAAAAUCUUGUUAAACUUAGAAAUUGAUAAAUACUACAAAAUAAAAAAAAAGAAAAAAAAUCCCCUGAUACCAAGUGCUUAAGGCUUUUACAUCAGCUAGAAACCUGAAGAAGCCAUCACACAUUUGUCUGCCUCGCAACAACACUUAAUAGAUACCCGUGAUUUGAGGAAUUCUGUUUAUUAUAUAUAUAUAGAGAAUGAAAGAAUAUAGGUAUAUAAAGGCUGCUGUACGGCCAAGGCGGAUGUACGGUACAGCAGUGUUUUACGAGUGAGUUCUUAAAAUUUUUGAAACUUUUUUGCCAGUGCGGUGUCCCCGGUUGUUUCGUAUACGGUUACGGGUUAUUUAUAUACACUUCAGACGCUGAGAGGCUAACGUGCACAGAGUGCAAGGAGUGCGUCACCAAUUUUAUCAUAGAAUGGGCUCGGUUUUGCCCAAUCGAAGCUAAAUGCUUACGAAUAAUUUUUUAAGCACCCGGACAUAGUUUUUUGCACCCAGUGGUAUUUUACAAUCUUAAACCUUUUUGUAAAGUAUCUGAUUAAACCCACGUAAUACACAAAUUAUUUUCUUGACUUAAUGAUUUUUCUGUUAUUUAUAUUUUCUUGUAUUAUCAAAGGCUUCAGCUAAAACUUACAAAAGUCCGAACCCGAAGUCUUAAACAAAUACGAAAAUCCAAUUCGACAAUUUUAGAAUACUAUUUUGCAAGGAAUUAUGUCUUUCACCUUGGGAGAUUUUAUUCAGUUAUCUUAAAUUUUGAAUAGAAAUAAAAAUUUCAUUAACAAGAAACAAAGUAUCAAAGUUUACAUCCGAAUUGAAAUGGAAUUGCAAUCAUCAAUGCUCCUAGUAUACUUUGCUAAUGCAUUAGCUAAAGUAUUACAUCUUCUAGAAAUAUGCCUAUAUAAAAAAAAUCUGUCACAAAGGUUAGAAUUUGAUUGAUCUAAGAGAUAGACCAACGCAAUUCCAUGGGAGUUGAGAAAUAGAAAUAAAUAAAAAUAAUAAUGAAUUUGGUUUGUUUUAGCAAAGAUGCAAGACUAAGAAAAAUAUGUCAUUAAAAAUCUUACAAGUUACAAGAGAGGGGGAAAAAAAAACGUACGUGUUAGGGUUUGAAGUUUUAAGUUUAAAUAAUAAAAAAAGGAAUAGAAAUGUAUAUGAUUUUGACAUUUUUUAACGGAAAUAUUAAGAAAUGGGCUUUGGAAGGUUUUCACAGGGUGCCAAUGGUCCGUCUUUAAUUUAAAACUUGAUUAACGAUAGGCCCAAUUAUUUUUAAGUCCAUUAAAAAUUUUUGUUCAGGAAGCUUUUGUGCAGCCAUUUGAUCUGCCGGUUACGGCCGACGUGGUCUCCAAAAGAGUUUAUCAUAGGAAUACAAAGACCUAGAUUUUGUUAAACUGAAUGUACAGAAAUUAACCAUUUAACUUUCCAUUAAAUGAGCGAACUAAAAUACUUCAUUAUAUAUAUGUCAAUUAAAAAGUUUCCUUCUAGUAUGCUAUCUUUCUCUCUGAAAGAGAACAAAAAGUAGUUUGGAGCUUUUAUGGCUUCAUAUCUCACUCAUUUAUUUUGAGUGGUUUUUUUUUUGUUGUCUUUCGUUAGUGGUUUAAACUGGGGGAGAGAAUUUAUGAGAGUGGGCAAGAGUCUUAAGACACGAGGGUUCCAAACACAGGGUAAGUGGUAGGUAUAGAGUUAAGAUGUGCCCACCCCUCAUGGACAUAGAGGAAUUAAUACGUAAAUGCAAAGCAAUCUUCAUCCACGAAGGCAACAAAUGCAAGUUAACCUUAAGAAGUGGCAUGGAAGAAAAGGGAGGACGCAUAAUGGCUAAUUCUCUGAUUGAGAAAAUAUUACUAACAAGGAGCAUACACACGGAAGGGAUCAGGACUGCAUUAGUACAUGCAUGGAAAACAACAAAAGAGGUGAAAGUUGAAAACAUGGGCAACGAUAUCUUUAUUUUUAAGUUUGGGUUGGAAGUUGAUAAGCGAAAAGUAAUGGCUGGAGGGCCAUGACAUUUUGGCAGAGCAUUAAUUAUGCUUAAAGAGCCCAGCGGAAGUGGAAAUAUGAGGAAACAAGAAUUCACACAUGUAACCUUUUGGAUACAAAUUCACAAUGUUAUGUUAGUAUGUACGGAGCGAGAUAAUAUUCAGAAGCCAGGGGAAUUACUAGGAGAGGUGCUAGAGGUAGAAACUGAUGAUGAAAGGGAAUGUAUUGGCCCAUAUGCAAGAGUUAGAGUAUCCAUUGAUAUUACGAAACCAUUAUAAAAAAUGGUUUAUUUGGAGUUGGAUGUUGAUGAUGAUGGAGUGGAGUUGCCAAUACUGCAUGUGUUAGCCUAAAUGGCUAUACAUACUAUAAUUUUAAUGAUAAGAAACAUGUGUCUUAUUAAUAUGAUAAAUAUUGUAUUUAACAUUUUUACUAGUUCUUGAAGGACAUUAUUUAUGCAAGUGAAUCAAGUGAAAUCAAGGUCAAGACACUCAACGGACAACGGUGCGAUCAAGAACAAAGUUUAGCUCAACGGAGUCAUUGUUGCGAACAAAUUCUUGUAAAGUUGAUAUGAUUUAAUAUAUGUAUAAUUUAGCAUUUGAGAAACUCAUGCUUUUAUUUAAUAAACCCAAAGGUUUCAUAUUUAUGAAAUAAAGUAUUUUAUGAAUUUGAGUAUUUUUCAAAUUUUAGAUUAAAUUGAAAAAGUUUUGAAAUCAAUAAGCAUUAUCAAAAGAACCCUUUUAAGAAGUAUUAUAAAGUUUUGGGUCAUAGCAUAAUUUCAAAAGGUUUUGGGAAUAACAAGCAUCAUUUGGACCAUUUUGGGUUAUAGUGAAAUUUCUGAAAGUUUUAGAUCAUACAUUAAUUUUUAAAAGUUUUGAGCCAAAAAGUAAAUAUUAAAAAUAUGGGGGGGGAGACAUAGAGUUAGAGGCUAGCUGACAAUGGUUAGCGGCUAGCUGCCUAGGGCAAAUCUUCAAAUUUUCAAAGAUAAAAUUUACAAUAGCUACUUGCUAUUUUGUCUAUAACGGCUAGUUUUUGUGCCUAAACUCUAUAAACUCAAAUCAAAUUCAUUUUUAAAGACUUUCGCAAGCAUAAACAAGUGCAAACAAUAUAUUUUGAGCUUCCAAUUCGUAAAUUAUCAUAGAUUAAAUCUUUAUUGAACUAUUAUUUGUAUAUUCACUCUAAAAGAGAGUAUUUGUUGUAAUUCGUGAAUUCAUUGAAAAAUUUUUAAGUGUAUAAGUGUAAGAAACACUUGACUGAUGAGAUUGGUGGAUAAUCUCUUGUUGUAAAGGUCCAUUGAUAUCUUAGAAGUCAAUUGUAAACAUUUGAAGUCUUUGAAGGCAUGGAUAGUGAAAUUCUCAAGCUUUGUUUGCUUAGAGGCGUGGACGUAGGCGGAGAUUAUCGAACCACGUAAAAAUAUUUGUGUUUGGUCUCUAUUCCCUUACUCUUUUAUUUUUGAGUAUUGCUAAAUUCAUUAUUUUUUAUUUCAUUAAAGCAUUAGAUUAAAUUAUUGUGUGGUUUGAUUAGCUUAAAUUUUAGAAACCCAAUCCACCAUGCUUUUGGGUUAGAUGACUAGUAUUUUAAUAUGAAUGGCUCCUAGAUUUUUGUUUUUGCUAUGGAAUUAUUGGGUAUUAAUUUAAAGAGUGCUCGACAUACAAUGGACAACCAAAGGAAAAAAUGCUUUAUGAAGUUUACAUGAAGGCAUUGUCCAAAGUUGAGAAAACCAAGUUGAAUCGAGGAAUAGAUAUGUAGAACAAAAGGUUUGAGCAGUCACUCAAUGGAUUCAAAGAAGCAGAGCAACAUGGAAGAAGUCAGCAAUAACAAUCUGGUUUGAACCCCAAUGUAAAUGAACCCGAGUCAAACCAACCCAAUUCGGGGGAAAUUGAUGGCCAGACAAUUAAGACCGAUGAACUAUUAACACAAAUGACUCUUGUGUCAUGACCUAACCCAGACCUGACAAGAUAUUGUCUGCUUUAGGCCUUAACAAGACCUGCACGAUUUUAUUUCUGGGGCACCUAUACAUCAUAAAACGAGUCUUGCCAAUUAAGGCGUGGAUUACCCCUUAUAAACCCAACAUUUCUCCUCUGCUUUGCCGAUGUGGGAUCUGCCUAAGGUGUUACAUACACCCCCUUAAGGACUCAGCGUCCUCACUGAGGUUUGCCCCAUCAUCGCUCAAGAGAACAUGAGCAGCCGCUCUGAUACCAUAUCUCAUUACCCAACCCAAACCUGACAAGAUAUUAUCUGCUUUGGGCCUUAACAAAGCCUGCACGUUUUUGUUUCUGGGGUGCCCAUACACCCCAAAACGCGCCUUUCAAUUAACGUGUGAAUCACCAUUUAUAAAUCCAACAUCUCUUCUGUGCUUUGUCGAUGUGGGAUACGCAAAAGGUGUUACAUACACCCCUUAGGGACUCAAUAUUCACGUUGAGGUUUUCCUCACCAUCGCUCAAGAGGACACACGAAGCCGCUCUGAUACCAUUUGUCAUGACCCACCCAGACCUGGAAAGAUAUUGUUCGCUUCAGGCCUUAACAAGGCCCACAUGGUUUUGUUUUUUGGGGUGCUCAUACACCCCAACACGAGUCUUGUCAAUUAAUGUGUGGAUCACCCUUUAUAAAUCCAGUAUCUCUCUUGUGCUUUGCUGAUGUGAGAUUCGCCUAAAGUGUUACAUACCCCCUUAAGGACUCAGUGUCCUCGCUGAGGUUUGUCCCAUCAUCGCUAAAGAGGACAUGCAGAGCCACUCUGACACUAUUUGUCAUGAUCGAACCCAGACCUGACAAGAUAUUGUUCGCUUUGGGCCUUAACAAGACCNNNNNNNNNNNNNNNNNNNNNNNNNNNNNNNNNNNNNNNNNNNNNNNNNNNNNNNNNNNNNNNNNNNNNNNNNNNNNNNNNNNNNNNNNNNNNNNNNNNNNNNNNNNNNNNNNNNNNNNNNNNNNNNNNNNNNNNNNNNNNNNNNNNNNNNNNNNNNNNNNNNNNNNNNNNNNNNNNNNNNNNNNNNNNNNNNNNNNNNNNNNNNNNNNNNNNNNNNNNNNNNNNNNNUACAUUCCUAUAUUUAUUUAUAUUAUGCUGGUAUAGAUUUUAUGUCUUCAUUUACUAAAUUAAUUUGCUUAUCUAACUUGCCUGUUUGGAUCAACUCUCUCAGGUAGCACCUGCAUUUACAAAAAAAGCGAAAGAAAAAGAAAGAUGAGAUCCGAGGGUGAUCACAUCAACGAACUCCCGGAUGAUAUUCUUGUAAAUAUUUUGUCUCGCUUGACCAUGAAAGAAGCUGUAAGGACCAGCAUAAUAUCAAGUAGAUGGAGAUAUUUGUGGAGAGGUUUCAGUGGCUGUUUGAACUUUGACGAUCCCUUCACCAUGGCAAACUCAAAGUGGCCUCAUUUGAAUUUGAAAAGUGGGCCAAUAAAUGUAGAAAGGCAUAAGUUUGUCAAUUGGGUCAAUCAAGUGUUGAGUUCACUUGAAGGUCAUUGUACCGAAGAAUUAAGGAUUUGCUUUGAUGUGUUCUCUAACCACGAUAUCGAUAACUGGAUCAAAUUUGCAUUGGAAAGGAGAGUUAGAAGACUUGAGUUGGAUUUCUCAAGAGUUGUGUAUAAUCUUCGGUUUGUUGGCCAAUACACAUUUCCAUCACAUCUUGAUUUUUAUUCCAGCUUUAGGCAUCUUACAGACCUAAGUUUGACAACGGUGGGCAUAACAGGAGAGGUUCUUGAACAUUUGUUAUGUUAUUGCUGUCCUGUUCUUGAAGUGCUAAAUGUUGCAGAGUCAAGCAGUCUUACGAGCCUUAAAGUGUCUGGUCCAUCACUUAAGUUGAAACACUUGAAAUUAAACAAGUUGGACAACUUGAAGGACCUUCAACUUCAUGCCCCGAAUCUCUUAUCUUUUGAAUAUUCAGGGCCAAUACUACCUUUUUCUUUCAGAAAUGUCCCGAAUCUUGUUGACGCAUCCUUUUGGGGCUGCUUUAGUGCAUACAUCGCGAAGAACCUAUGCCAGCAUUCUAUUUUUCUUGUGCAGCUACACACUCUUAAAUUGGACACGUGUCAUCUGUUGGUAAUUAGUUUUUUUGUUUGUUUUUGUUUUCAUUUUUAUUGAUUCCUUAUUGCCGCUGCUUUUGUUAAUUUUGUCUUCAAUAUUUUGUUGAUAUUGAUGCAUAAUAAAUUUGCUUCUUCCUUUAUUCAGAUUGGUGACAGUGAAUAUAGAGCAGGCCGCUACCUCCACGAUAUUCCUGAAAUGUGCAAUCUCAAGCAUUUGGAAAUUAUUGGAACGCCAAAGGUUAAUGACCUCAUUUUUUGUAUUGCUUUGUUGGAAGCAGCUCCUUCAUUGUAUAAAUUUUCUCUGAAGGUGAAUGUUAUUUAAUUUAUUAAUUUAUUAAUAGGUGGAAAUUAAUACCAUUUACUAAUUUAUGAUAUAUAUGGUUGUGUUUUUCAGUUAGUAUCACAAUAUGACUAUGAGAGCUAUGAAUCGGUCAAGACCAUCAAGGAUCAGCCGUAUUUAAGCUUCACAGAACUAAGAAGUAUUAGGGUGGUGGAGUUGCUGGGAUUUGUAGGACAUACAGCUGAUUUUGAGCUCGUAAUGUACUUAAUUUUCAGUGCGAAGCUGUUGGAGAAGAUUAUUAUCGACCCUUGUCCAACAUGGAGAGUGGGAACUCCAGCGGAAUUGAUCUGGAGGGAAACGGCGGAGUAUCAAUCCGCUAGAAGGCGUGCUUUUGAGUUGGCAGCUAAAUUUCCUUUAUGGGAAUUUGUGAUUCCGUAAAUUAUUAUUUGUCUUCUUAUCUAAUUUGCUUUUUGGGUGGUUGGUGUUGUUGAAGAUAAGGAUUCUUUGCUCAUUUGAGAUUUUGUCGAGCACUAAAUUGAUGGUUAGAAUUUUGUUGAACACUAAAUUAAUAAUUAGAUUUACUUUACUUAACAGUUGCUUCUCUUUUUUUAUUAUCUAAUUAUUUUUUGGCAUAUUAUUGGAAAUUAAUUAUAGAUUUAUAUUUUAUUUUAAUUAUUACAAUCAACAAAUAUAUUACGAUAUUGUAUUAACUUUGAUACUGGAUGCAUAAAUUUAGGUACGGCAUAUAAAACAUGUCACACGUCAUCAUUAAAAUUAGAAACCAAUGGUCAGAUCUUCAUUAAACUCCACCGUUUGUGGUAUUUUAGAAACCAAUGGUCAGAUCCUACUGAUCUAGUAGCUUGAAAAUUGUUGUUUAAUUUGUGGGAUUGAACUUUUUAUUCGAUUUGGGGUCGUUUUUAUUUGUUAAAAUUAAAUAACAAUUAUGUAUAUAUUAUUUUAAUUUAGUCCAAAACAUACUAAAAUAAGAAAUUCCUUAUUAAAUCUAGAUUCUUAUGUUGAAAAGGCACUCGAAAUAAGCAUUAUUAUCGCCUUUUUAUUUUUAUGGGACCCUUUGAUUGUUAGUUUUGCAAGCUUUUCUAAGUAAAUUAUAAUUUUUAACCAUCAAACAUAACUUCACCUAAUCUUAGUUAUUUAGACAUUCCAAGUGUAAUAAGACAACCAUACUCAUACCACAAUUCAUAAAUUCAAAAUAAGACCACCACACUCAUACCACAAUUCAUAAAUUCAAAAGGAAAGCCAAACGUUCAGAAGGAAACAAAUAUCUCCGGGAACCUUUCAACAGAAAAAGUUUCAACCUAUGGCAAUCUUCAAUAGGAUAUACACACCCAAAGUAGAUUAUUUAGGAAUCUAAAGAAACAAGAAACUCAUAGAAUGGUAAAGCAAUCUCGAAGAAUUACCCUUGAGAAACUUAGAUUAAACCUGAAGGAACAGGACAAAAAGAAAAAAACGUCACAUUUUUCUAUAGAAAAUGAAAUAAAAUUCAAGCACAGAUGGAACGACAUACCUUUAACGUACUCUUUAUCUGGUGACACAAUUUUACGGCCAAUCUGUUUAUCAUAGCCUGAGUAAACAGUGCUGAAUCCUAGUCCAUGUGCUUCUCCAGUGUUAAUAUGGUCUUCUAUGUUUUCUACCUGCCAAGAAUCAGCAUAUUUGAUUGCCAAAUUAAUUUCUAUCCUCUUCGGACCCCUUUGGAUGCGGAACCAACGCCACAUCUCUGUAAAUUGCUUGAAGUCAGACUCCCACAGGAAUUCAGCUCUACCCCAUGAGUCAAGCUUCUCUAGAAUUGCCUUCAACUCAUCCUUCACUGCCUCAAGUUGCGCUAACUUGCUUGAUUCUUUUAUUUGCUCUUCCAGCAUGGACUCACGCUGCUCCUUCACAUAUUGCUUCAAGACAACAAUUUUCACCCGGGCACCGAUAUCGUCCAAAAUUUUUUGCUGCACAGGGUCAUAUUGAUUUGCAUCUUCUUCCGGCAAAUCCUCCAAAAGUGCCACAUACGCAGCAUCUUCAUUUACUGCCACCUGCUACAUUAUAACAAGUGAUUCAUUAUUACUUAAAAAUAGACAACUACACAAGUAGUGAGAACACAGGUGCUGGAAGCACAACCAAGUGCAAAAGGGAGGAAAGAUCAUUAAGCAUAUCUCUAUCAAUUUCAUAUGAACAAUACCAUAAACGAACCUUAGAGUUAAAAGAAAAGUGGACAGAACAGUCCUCUUCAAUACAAUCAAUAGAGAGUUGAACAUCUUCAAACCACAAAAAUUAUGGGUCUACUGUGAAUUGCAUUGAUAAGGUGAAGAGCAGAGACCAAAAAAAAUUAAACUGCAGACUGAAAGAUCCAGCGAUGUUAGCCUUUCACAGCUCAUGGAUGAUGGAACCCAUGAGAAUAUGUGAGUGAAAUCUUGCUAAAAUCCAAAUUCUUAAUUCUCUGGCAAAAGAACAAGAAGUGAAAAUGUGGAAUCUCUUUCUUCGCAAGGAGGCAAAUCACAAAAGCACAAGCAGGAUGAUUUGAACAGCCCUAGACCAAUUUCAAUAUAAAAUUACUAAAUUCUUAAUAUUAAAUGGUAAAAUGCAAACAUCAAACAUAUGAGCCUAUGUAACAAACAAAAAAUUCAUAGAGGGAAGAACUGAUUCAACUAACAUUCGAACGCAGGGAUUUUUUUCACAUCUUGCAAGCGAUUUUUGACUUCCAUCUUGUGUUUUUUGUCGUCUCCGGACAUUGUUUCAGCCCACUUAGUCUUGUCUUGAAUUAUGGAAAGAGUGCUGUCUGAAAUGUCUAAUCUAUAAUUUCCAAUUAAGAACUCUGUUACCCUCAACAAGACUUCAUAGCAUGCAAUCAGUGAAAAUAGAAUAUGCAGACAAUUGUAUCACGGAAUAGGGAGAAAAUGUAGAUGUAGUACUCAUGAUAACAUGAUUGUCAAAACCAGGGUCACAUCUGACACAGCUUACUUUGUGGAUUUUUUUUUAAAAAAAAAGAAGAAAAAUUUGCUGCAAGUUGUACCUGCAAAUAGCAUAACCUUCCCAUUAGGCAUUGGGCUGUUAAAUGUGUCUGAAAAAAGAAUUAAGUAAGGUGAAGUGUCUAACCUCAAAGCAUCUUCUCAACGGAUUCAACUUCCCUUUGACUAUCCCCUAUACAAUAAACAACCUACAGUUGUCAUAGUUUUCUACUUAUAAAUAGAAUUAAACAGCAUUUCAUUAUGCUGAAGAAAGAAAUACCUAUUUUCUUGGUGAAUCAGAGGGAAAAAAAUAAAAUGGUUUCAGCCAGACUUGUCCAAACUAGUUUUCACAAAUAUCGUUUCGAUUUUGAAAUGGUUAUGUUACUAGAUCAACUUAUAUUUUAUUAUUUUGUUAAAUUUUCAUGUUAAUGGGAAACUUGAUAUUUUAAUAUUCAAAUCUCUCAAGUAAGAUUCUCAAAUGGUCUGUAAAUCUGUUCAGAAACCAGACCAUAGAAACUAUGGUGGGCAGUAACUUGUUAACAUGAUAACAAGGGGUUCAAGUAAAGCCCAGGAAUGAAGAAGACUUACCACAAAUAUGCAUUCAUUGAUCAGAAAGUCUUCGAGUUCACGCACAUUAGCAAUCUCAAGUUCUGCCAUAAGUUGAUCGUAGGAUAGAUCCUAGGAGAGAGUUAAACCAAGUAAUAAAGCCAUAGCUUCAGAACUAAUUUACACAGAAGAAAUGACACAAAUAUAGCAUAUCGUAAGGUAGUAAAGAGAGAAAUUAAGAUAUGAUCAAUCUCUAAGUUUAAAUUCCAAACUUAUUAAUGCCCAGAGGCACCUCAGUGAAAAUCUACACGCUCUUCUUACUUACAUCCCUAUAAAAACUAUACAAUAACAUAGAUGUAUAAAUAUUCUGAUUGCCGACAUCAGUAUGCACUCCACAAUCAUCAGGGGCAUGUCGAUUUGCCAGGAUUAACAUAUUAAUAUAAAAAGCUAUAAGAGAGCAAUUGUUAAAUUUUAAAUUUACUCACCGCAUACGAGCGUCCAGUCGGACAAUCAUUGCAUAAGUGUCUAGCAUAUGAGCCAAUAAAUCCCAACAUCGCUUCUUUAAAUUCUUUAUGUUCUUUGCACUCUACCUCAAAAGCCAACUUCAAUUCAGAAAUUUUACGAUCAAUCUUGUCCAUCCGUUGUCUGAUGUAAGAAUUAUGAUGUUUUGUUCUCGACUAUUACAAAANNNNNNNNNNNNNNNNNNNNNNNNNNNNNNNNNNNNNNNNNNNNNNNNNNNNNNNNNNNNNNNNNNNNNNNNNNNNNNNNNNNNNNNNNNNNNNNNNNNNNNNNNNNNNNNNNNNNNNNNNNNNNNNNNNNNNNNNNNNNNNNNNNNNNNNNNNNNNNNNNNNNNNNNNNNNNNNNNNNNNNNNNNNNNNNNNNNNNNNNNNNNNNNNNNNNNNNNNNNNNNNNNNNNNNNNNNNNNNNNNNNNNNNNNNNNNNNNNNNNNNNNNNNNNNNNNNNNNNNNNNNNNNNNNNNNNNNNNNNNNNNNNNNNNNNNNNNNNNNNNNNNNNNNNNNNNNNNNNNNNNNNNNNNNNNNNNNNNNNNNNNNNNNNNNNNNNNNNNNNNNNNNNNNNNNNNNNNNNNNNNNNNNNNNNNNNNNNNNNNNNNNNNNNNNNNNNNNNNNNNNNNNNNNNNNNNNNNNNNNNNNNNNNNNNNNNNNNNNNNNNNNNNNNNNNNNNNNNNNNNNNNNNNNNNNNNNNNNNNNNNNNNNNNNNNNNNNNNNNNNNNNNNNNNNNNNNNNNNNNNNNNNNNNNNNNNNNNNNNNNNNNNNNNNNNNNNNNNNNNNNNNNNNNNNNNNNNNNNNNNNNNNNNNNNNNNNNNNNNNNNNNNNNNNNNNNNNNNNNNNNNNNNNNNNNNNNNNNNNNNNNNNNNNNNNNNNNNNNNNNNNNNNNNNNNNNNNNNNNNNNNNNNNNNNNNNNNNNNNNNNNNNNNNNNNNNNNNNNNNNNNNNNNNNNNNNNNNNNNNNNNNNNNNNNNNNNNNNNNNNNNNNNNNNNNNNNNNNNNNNNNNNNNNNNNNNNNNNNNNNNNNNNNNNNNNNNNNNGUACAGCAGGAGAGAGAAAUGUUCUAGUUCGGAAUUUUAAAGUACGGGAAAACUUUAAAACCGCAUGGUUUUAAAGGAUUAAAACUGUAAGCCUUUAAAGCCGUGUAGUUUUAAAGCUUUUCAGGACUUUCACGUACAUUAAAAUCCCUGACAAGAAAACUAUUAUAUAUAGUGUUAGAAUGAUUUAUAUACGAGGAAAGGAAAUGAUUUACAACCUCUGAAUCUUGUGUCAUCAGACUCGUAUGUCUUCUCUUGACGAUCAUCUAAAGGCAGCUCAUCCUCAACGAGAUUUUGCUACUCUAGUGUUAGAAGCGGUGUGUCAUGAUGUUCCUUUGUUUGCCUUGUAACUGGCGGCGCAUUAAUUGAAGGUUGAUGCUGCACAAAGUAACAUUGAAAUGAGUAAAUAAUAAGCCAAAAAUUUUGAGUUUUAUUUAAUUGAUAAAUAUAGAAUACCUACAUUACUAACCCAACUUGGGAUAUGUGGCACAUAAUUAUUCACGGUAUGCUAAUAUUUUUUAGUUUUCUCCUUUGUGUCUAACUCAAUGGUUUGUAAAACAUUCCCCUGCCAUAAAUUCUGCCCAAAAUUUUAGGUUAGUCUAAUCAUAUAAUAUUUAGUAAUAUAACAAGUAGUAUUAUACAUCUACCAAUAAAAUAUUACUUACAAGAUGAAUUGUCAUUCAACAAUGAAUAAAUUUCAGCAAAGUUUAUUUUAGAAGAAACAAUGGGGAAUCUUCUUUUUCGUUUUUACGACCCAUGUUGAUGGUAGGCCUCCGAUCGAUUAAAAAAUCCAAACCUGCUUAUUAGUAUUAAAAAUUGUUUAAUUAUCAAGCGAUAAUAAUGUUAUUUUGUGCUUAUGCUAUAAUUUAUAUUUUUGUUUACGCAAUAUAUUAGGAAUUAUUAAUUAUGUAUUAAAUAUAUUUAAUUUUGUGUAUUUUUAUGUGUUUAUUAGGUAAAAUUUUAAUUUCACGUAAUUCAAGGCACUAAACAGAUAAACAGAUGUCAAAUUCAGAUUCCAAAGAUCUGAAAACCUUAAGAUGAGUCAAGAUCGGCUUAAAAUUAGGCUUGUGUAAAAAGAGUUGAUUUUUUCUGUUGAUUGAGCACUGAUUGGAUGAUAAAAUGAGCUUACAAUAGAUAUGAGUGCAGGGGAUAGCCGGUAAUUUUGACUAAAUCUCAAUCGUUCAUGAUUCAAUGACCAUGAUUGUGCCACGUGGCAAUGAUUGGUGAAGUAAGUUGUAAGAUCCGAAUCUUUGUAUUUGGGUCGACCCAAUUCACCCAUUAACCCGCCAAAUCUCAACCGUUCUUUGGCCAAAUCAGACAAGUCAAAUUAUGCCACGUGUGAUGUUGACUUUUGAAGUUUGACCAGCCAUUAGAUCUUGAUCUAAUGGUUGUGAGGAGCGCAUGCAUGAAGCUUAUGAUGGACCGCAAAACACUGGAUUAUAAAUUUAUUUUUCUAUAAAUAAAACCUCAUUUUUAUGUUUUUAAUCAUCUCUCUACAUCUCUCUUCUUCUCAAUUUCUCUCCAUCUCUUUGUAAUCUUGAUUUUCAGGUGUGCUUUUAAUAUUUUGUAUAAUUAUUUUUAUAAAUAAAUUUAGUUUAUUUUCAAUUUUAGUUGUUUUUAUUACUUUUAAUUACAAGAUAUUUAAUUUUAAUAAUUAUUUUUAUUUCAAUUAUCCUUAACUAAAUAAUAAUAUUUAGGGUAAGGUGAAACUCUUAGGAAAUAAAUAUGAUUUAAUCAAAUUCUAUUUUUAUUUUAUAAAUUAAAUUAUUUUUCUGUUUAAUUUUAUACAUAUUUUAUAUUUUUAAAUUUUGAUUUAUUGUAGACAAAUAAAUUAGUUUGGCACAAUAAAUUCUUAAUAUCUUAACAUAAGGUAUGGUAAAAUGGUAUUUUGACUUACUGUAGACAAAUUAAAUUUUGGCACAAUAAAUACUUAAUCCAUUAUAAAAUUAAAGGGAAAAUAAUAAUAAUUUAUAUAAUUAAUCUUUUGGGCAAUAAAUUUAAAAAAAAAAAGGCAAAAAGAAUUUAUUAAGUUUUAUUUACAACUAAGAGUGGAACCACAACCCUAACUAGUUCAAUUUCAUAGUUUCAUUUAAAUUAAGUUGUUUAUAUUCAAGUUUUAUUUUUAUUUUUAGAUAAAAUAAAAUAAAAGAAUUAAAUCUUUUCUUUGAGGAUCGACCUCAGACUCACCAAGCUAUAAUAAAACAAGACAUUCUUUUACUUGGGAGUUAAAAAUUAUUUUUAAGUUGUGUUACCUACAACAACUAAAGUGAGAAAGUCAUAACCCCUAUUGUUAAAUAUUCAAUAAUACAAAACUAAUUAAUCCAAAAGCAAUUAUCAACGCGCUUGAACCCCGGAAGUAAAGCCAUAAACACCUUACUUUUGAAUUUUAUGGUUUGGAUUUCUAAGCGAAUCAUUUUAAAUUUCUCGUCUUUGCCGUUUAAUGCAUUGUCUAGACUGUCAUAUAUCAUUUCCCACGACAAAUGACCCUAUGGACAAUUUCAAAAGUGAUCUACACCAUCUACUUGUUUAAGCAAUGAAAAAUUGAUUUGACAAUGUUCUUUUCUUCCAUUUAGUACUAUGUCUACAAAAUAAUAGAGCGCAAUCUUUAGUGCAUUAAUGUCGUCCAUAGCCUCGAAGUCGAAGUCCUCAAAUCUUAAGUUGAAUUGCUUAAGAUUUAUGUUGUGAAACAAACUGUCAAAAUAUAUAUUAAGUAGCCUAUGCACCGUUUUUAGCUUUUUUAGCACGACAUCUUUACCGUAGGAAAGUUCCGUAACUAGGCACCACUCUCCACUAAUAAGCGUAUCAAAUGCUCACCAAUUUGAAAUCAUAACUGAUCUUUCUCAUUGCAUUCUCCAUGGGCCACUUGCCUAAGCAAACAUUAUGCGAAAUUUCGCAAUUGAAUGGAAAGUUUCGGCACUCUAAGAAAUGCCAAAUAUGUCUAGCCUGAACAGUUGCAAUUGUCAUUUUGUUACAUUUUUCUAGAUGGCUUUUACGGUUAUAGUUAAUUUACACAUACUCGAGAUACGCCCGGGGAAGUGAUCGACAUAAACUAACUUCAUGAUGCUGAGUUUAUUUCUCAAUCCUGUUAGAUUAUGCUUUGCUAUCUUGGAUUUCACUAUGUAUCUAUUACAUUUAUAACAUUAUUAGUAUUGCAUUUAUAACAAAUUAAUAACCUUAUACUAAAAAAAAAAACUAUAACUUGGUGCGAUAGGCAGUCUGUCGCACUUGAUCAGAUGCGACGGGUGCCAUGGCCUACAAGCCAUCACACGAAUUUUGUCAAGAGCGCACCAAAUUCAUGCGAUGGGCAUCCCGUCAACCACACCAAUAACUUCACCUACACCACCAACAUCACAAACACUUUAAUCCUUCAUCACUAUCAUCAACACAACACAAUAACAACAACAUAAAACAAGAACACACAACAGAACAUGCAAUAAAACCUAGGGUUUUUGAACUAACCAUUGAUUUUAGAUCUCGGCCGUGAUUUUGGUGAUGUUAGCCACCGACGAUGGACUCCAGCGUACUGUGGGAAGUCGCAGGUGAUGGGUGACUAAUUUGGGUGAGAGAGAUCGUUCGGUUAGAGAGAGGAAGCUUGGUGAGAAUGAGAGGGGUAUUUUCAUCACUUGAUGUGUUGUUUGGCUAAUGUUGAUAGAAAUAAACUUUUGGGGUCAAUUGUGAAAAAUGCAAAACUUUUAUGGUCAAUUUUGCAAAUUUCCCCUUUUUUUUCUCCUUUAGCAUAUUCUCAUUUAUUCUUGCGUACAAUUAGGGUUUUUAUUUUUAAAUUCAGUUAUCGAGUUUGUGUCUUUUUUGGCCAAUUAGGAUGUGUAUUUAUUGAUUCAGUUCUUGAUUGCUCUUUGAAAAAUGCUAAGUGUAGAGAAAGAUGAGAGAAAUAAAGAAGAAAAGGAAAAAGAGAGAAUGGGCGGCUAGAGAGAGAGGGGGCAAAUUUCUCUCAUUUUUCUUUACACCAGACAUCACUCUCGUGCCUUUUUGGUCUUGAGGAGUUUGAUUUGGUUGUACUAUCAUAUCUAAACCCAACUAUACAUGAAUUUGUAAGGAAAAAAUCAAUUUGUUGUCCUUUUUAAUAAAAUUAUUUCAAAGUGAUCUCAAUCAUCGAACAAUAGAUUAAUUAAAAAAUCAUAAAAAUAAAAUUUUACCAUCCAAUAAAUAAAUAAACGACAAUUAAGAUGAAAUCUCUUAAAAAUAUCAUUAGGGGUGUGUGUGUGUGUCUCUCUGUGUGUGUAGGACUAAGAGUUGCAUUUUUCUGAUAUAAUAUUAUGCACAAAAUAUUUAACCACCAAAUCAAUGGAAUAAAAUAAACUAAAUGCUUAUUUUUAUUUUUAUUAAUAACAAAAUAAAAAUAAAUGACCCCACAACAUAUUAUUAUUUAUUUUUUCUUCUCUUUUCCUAUAUUCUCUCUCUAAUUAAUAUGAUUUGACUCUCUCUACAAUUAAAAAACUAUUCAUUUAUUAGGGGAAACCUUAGGUGCAACUGUGGCACGGUGCCACAGUUGCACCGUAGCCUGAUCCCAUUUAUUAACUUUUAGUAAAAUACAAGUACCAUGAGUAGGGAUGGGCAAAUCGGAUUUCGGUUCGAGUUGUUUCGGUUUUGGUUUGGGUUUCAACUCAUUCAGUUUGGGAAACUCAACCCAAUCGGGUUGAAACUAUAAACCCGAACCAAAAAAGAAUAAUUAACUAAAUAUCAAGCAAAUUUCUCAUAAUCUUAUUCACAAAUUAACUAAUUAACAUAAAUAAUUCUAUAUUUAGCAAUUAACAAAAAUUAAGAAAUCAACAAACAAUUAAAAAAAUAAAUUACUAAAAGAUUAAUUAAUGAGAUAUAAGAAAAAGAAGAAGAAACAUUUGGUGGUGGAGGAAGGGAAGAAGAAGAAAAAGAAGUUCGACAGCGGCAGAAGGAAAGAAGACAAAGGAAAAGAGAAGAAGAAAAUAAAAGAAGAAGAAGAUAUUUGGUAGUGGCGAAAGAAAAGGAGGAAAAGGAGAAGAAAGAGAAAAAUGAAGAAGUGGAGAAGUGUGGAGGUCAAGAAGUGUAGGGUUAUCGGGUUAGGAAUAUGUUUUUACUUUUUAAGUUAUUUGUUUUUUCUUUUUCUUUUUAAUUUUCUUGGUUGACCUGAUCGGGUUUGAAUUUUCAACCCAAAUGGGUUGUAGACUUCAACACAAACUGAACCGAACCUGAAAUUCGGUUCGAUUUGAGUCAACCCAACACCCACCCCUAACCAUGAGCAUGCAAGAGCAUAGAAGAAGAACUAAUAUUAUAAACACGCAUGAAAUUGAGUUUGUUAUUGAAAAAUAAUUUGUUAAGGAACUAAAUAGAAAAUAAGAAAGAAAAGGUUGAAUACAAAAUUGAUUUGAUCCCUUGUUAAACCUGCCUAAUAGAACUUUUGAAACGAAAAUCUUUAAUUAAAUAUCUUUUGUUAAUUUUUUUAUUUUUUAAAUCAAAUAAAAUCAAUGAAAGCUUAACCGCUACAGAAGUUGAAAGCUCCAAAUAAAGUUAGAUGCUAUAUGAACAUAAUAUCGUAGAAGUCGGUGAUUGAAGCAAUCGAGUUACAUGUUGAAAAAGAAAGACAAAUAAUUAAUUGAUUUGAUUCUUUUACCGCUCAAUAGCCCAAGCACCGCUCACGGAUAUUUUAUUAGAAGGCUUGGUUGAUAGUUCUUCUAACUUUCUGACAUUAUUCAUAUGAGGAAAUACCCAGUAAUUAGUCCACUGAUUUGAAUGAUAUUGAAAGGUUAAGAUUUUGUGUGUAAUAUUAAGUUGAAAAAAGGGGCUGUCGAUCCUAUCCCCUAUGUACAUCUAGGGACAUAUUCAAUCGAUAUAAUUUUAAAUAUAAUUUUUUAAUCAUUAGAUGAUACUUAUUUCAAUGGUUUAAAUUGAAACUUACAUAGUAUUUUUUCAAGGGAAAUUUACACUCGUCCACAUGUUUAUUUUGCAUUUUUCAAAAAUAUACAAAUAAUUUUUUUUUUCAACGCGCUACCUGAAGUUUGUUUUUUGUUGCAUUCGUCCACUUCCGUCUAAUUUCCAUUAGUGGAUUUAACGGAAUGUUAACGAAAUGACCUUUUUACCCUCAAAAUUACAAUUUAACCCAAAAUAAAUGAAAAUUGGAGAUAAAUUGGAUGGAUUCCAAUUUCUAUUUAUUUUGGGUUAAAUUGUAAUUUUGAAGGGCAAAAAGGUCAUUCCGUUAAAUUCACUAACAGAAAUUAGACGGAAGUGGACGAAUGCAACAAAAAGCAAACUUCAGGUAGCGCGUUGAAAAAAAAAAUUAUUUGUAUAUUUUUGAAAAAUGCAAAAUAAACAUGUGGACGAGUGUAAAUUAAAACAAACAAGUGGACGGUUGUAAAUUUCUCUUUUUUCAAUGGUAACAGUAAAUAAGUAGUGGUCCCCAACCUUUAUUAGAUCUUCCCUCCCUUUUCUCUUCCUCUUCCUCUCUUUCCGUUAAUAGAUCCUCCUUACCGAGUUUUGUAUCUUAAAAGUUAAAGCAAAAGAUUUUUAAUUCAAUAAAAAUGGUUUUGCAUAGGGUUGGCAAUUUAAGGGUCUGGGCCGGGCUUUGCCAAGCUCAGGACCAGGCCCAUAUAAUGUUUAAAAAGUUCAGGCCCUCUUAAAGCCCAUCCAAAUUGGGUGGGCUGGGCCUUGACGGGCCUGGGCUUUUAUGAAUUUUCAAAAUUUUUUUAAUAAAAUUAUAAAUUUUCAAAACAUAAUUAUCGAAUACAUAAUACUACAAUAGACUAAAAACUUAAACAUAAUUCUCUAAUACAUGAUUAGCCAACACAAAAUAUAAAAAUACUAACAUCACAAGUACCAUACACAACAUACAAAUCAAGUAAUCAACCACUAAUAUAAAAAAGAAACUAAUCCAAUAUUUGCGGGCCAUCUUCGUCCUCAUCCUUCAAUUCUUCGCUAGUAAAAAUUUCUUCUUCAGGAACUCCACCUAAUAAAAAAAAGUGUUAAAAUAAAGGGAGCCCCUAUGUUACAAUUAAUGUAACAUACACACUCAACAACAACCACACAAAUGAUGGACCCACACAAUUUGUGUGGUUGUUGUUGAGUGUGUAUGUUACAUUAAUUGUAACAUAGCAUUUGCCUAUUUAUAAUUGGUUAAUAAAGUAGAAAAGUUGAACGACAACCAUAAUAACCACCGCCGAUCAUGACAUCUCAUCGUCCGUGGCAUAAUUUUGGUACCUAUUGACACCAAUUUUGGUAUCAUUGGAAUCCACAUCGCUGGAACUAUCCAAUGGUACAUAAAUUGGCGGAAAUAAAGUUUCUGUCCAUUGUAGAUCAUAGGCGAUUUUUCUCCUAAAUAAUUUAGGAUCCCAUUAUAGAUAAAAACUCCUAAUUUUAUUUUUAAAUUAUAGUUAUUAAUUAUUUAUUUGUAUUUAUUAUUGUUUAUAAUUAUAUUCUCUAUAAACAAACCACUAAAUCCUUACAAAAUCCCCUUUUAACAUUAUAAUUAACAAUUUUAAUCCCAUUUAUUUUCUCUAUAUAUUUCAUCUAAAACUCUAUAAAGGCCACAUAUUUUUUAAAAUUAUUGUCCAUUAAUAUAUUUUUUCAAUAAAAAAAAAUACACGAAUCCUUCACUACUCUGGUAAAAAAACUAUUUUCUCUACUCUACUUUUCACUUAAGAGAAAAAAAUCAAUGGUUUUACUAUCCAUUGAUCACUACUACUCAAAGCCUUAAUUCAUUAAAGUUAAAGUUUUCAAAUUUCUAGGAUCUACCUUUCCAUUCUCUUAAUAAUUAAUUAUGUUAUUAAGUUGUUUUUGUUUCUUUUUAAAAAUAUUAUUGUGUUCAUAGGUUGUUUUCUUGUAAUUAAUUAUCUAGCAUAUAAUUGUUUGCUUAAUUACCCUUGUUUCACUAGGAAAAAAAAAGCUUAUUAUACAAUUUUUUUUAAAAAAAUAUAUAUUUAUAUUAUUUAUUAUAAAGCCCAGGCUUUUCAUUCAAGCCCUUAACUGAGCCCAUAUGUAAUGGGCUUUAUUAAUUAUGAGCCCUUAUCCAUAAUUUCAAGCCGCGGGCUGGGCUUAAAGCCCGCGGGCCUGUGCGGGCUUGGGCCGGCCCGGGCUUUUCUGCCAACCCUAAUUUUACAAGUUAUUGAUAAAAGAUAAAGACAAGUGUUGUCAUUGUUGUUUUUAAUAGAUUUAGCUAUGUAAUAGAGUAAGGGGUUAAAUCGAAAGUGAAAAUAAAAGAAACUAUUUUGAGAUUGAACUCGAAUAAUGAGUAAGACUUAUACGAAUAGAAUUUUCAGGAACUUCUAUGGUGAUUUUGAUGAGGAAUUAACUGUACACAAAUUGAAGAACUGAUUGGGUAAUAGGGAACAAUAUAAUGACUAGAAGGUAUUUUGCUUGGAAGAGCAUAUGGCUUUUUAAUCUAACAAUGUUAAAUUUUUAGUUUCAAAGCUCAAGUUUGAGAUUGAUCAUUAAUUGAAACACAAAAGAAUUUUAGUAAUGAAUGAAUGCGAUAGUGCAGAGGAGAUAUGAAAAGAGUGAUGACGAAGGUGAAUUCAAUUUAUACAACUUAGAUUGAUUUACCAGUGAGAUUUAACAAGUAAUAAAAUUACUAAUAUAGAUUUUUUUUUUAUAUUCUAACCAAAAUGGAUUUUGUUUUGAAAGGAACUAAAAUGGAUGUUCACAUCUAUCUAUAUAUAUAUAAAGCUAGGACUUGAGGAGGUGAUGUGGCAUCACCAUUUUACUUCUUUGUAUAUUAUCUAUUAUCUAAUAAAUAGAGAUUUUUAUUUUUAGAUUUGACUUUUCAUCUUCUCAUAAUUAAUUUGAUUGCAUUUAACUCAUUUAAUAAAUAGUAACUUUAUUAAUAUAUAUCAUUCCUCAUCUUUUUAUAUUUUCUAUUAUCUAAAAUAUUGGUGGAUAUUCUUUGUACUUUUUUUUAUCUUUCUAUUUAAAUUCAACAAUAUGUAAUCAUUAAUAAUAUCUAUAUAUCUAUCUAUAUCUAUCUAUAUCUAUAUAUAAAGUUGAGACUUGAGGAGGUGAUGUGGGAUCACCAUUUCUCAUCAUCUCAUAUUCUCUAUUAUCUAAUAAAUUGGUUGAAAUUAAAAAAUAAUUAUAAACAAAAUAUUAAAAUAAAAAAUAAUUAUUAGAUUAUAAAUGAUUACAUGUCUUUUCCUCUUUCUAUUUAAAUUCAACAAUAUGUAACCAUUAAUAAUAAUUAAUUAUAAGUCUUGAAACAUUCAUUUAUUUUAUUAUGCCAAUAAUUAAAUUUUAGUGGCUUAAAAUAUAUCAAUUAAUUAAUAUUAAUAUAUGAAGGAAGGUUCAUUCAUCUUCCCUCAACAAUGCCAUUAGAGCCUAAUUUUAAUGUCAUAAUCCCAUAUUUAAUUAUUCAAUCUUUUGUUUAGUGCAUUUUGGCUUCUUCAAACUCCAUAAACAUUAAAUAUUUAAGAUUUGUGGCAUCAUUAUUUCUCAUCUUUUUAUAUUCUCUAUUAUCUAAUAUAUUGGUUGAGGUUAAAAAAUAAUUACAUUACAAAAUAUUAAAUAUAUAUAUAUAUAUAUAUAGGAGGUGAUGUGGCAUCACUAUUUCUCAUCUUCUUGCAUUCUCUAUUAUCUAAUAAAUUGGUUGAUAUUAAAAAAAUAAUUACAUUACAAAAUAUUAAAAAUAAAAAAUAAUUAUUAGAUUAUAAAAGAUUAUAUGUCUCUUCCUCUUUCUAUUUAAAUUCAAUAAUAUGUAACCAUUAAUAAUAAUUAAUUAUAAGUCUUCAAACAUUAAUUUAUUUUAUUAUGCCAACAAUUAAACUUUAGUGGCUUAAAUAUAUCAAUUAAUUAAUAUAGAAAGGAAUGUUCCUUUAUCUUCCUUCAAUAAUGUCAUUAGGGUCUAAUUUUAGUGCUAUAACCUCAUAUUUAAUUAUGCAACCUUUUGUUUAGUGCCUUUUGGCUUCUUCAAACUUUAUAAAUAUUAAGUAGUUAAGAUUUGUGGCAUUAUUAUUUCUCAUCUUUUUAUAUUCUCUAUAAUCUAAUAUAUUGGUUGAGAUUAAAAAAUAAUUACAUUACAAAAUAUUAAAAAUAGAAAAUAAUUAGUAGAUUAUAAAAGAUUACAUGUCUCUUCUUCUUUCUAUUUAAAUUCAACAUUUCCCUCACCAAUAGCACUAGAACCUAAUUUUAAUGUCAUAAUUUCAUAUUUAAUUAUGCAACAUUUUAUUUAGUGUCUUUCGGCUUCUUCAAACUAUAUAAAUAUUAAGUAUUUAAGAUUUGUUAUGUUUGGAUUUUUUUUUUAUUAUUUAACCAACAUCCUCUUUAGAAAUGUUCUUGUGUUUUUAUUUUUUGACUUAUUUAAAUUUUUUGUAUUGUGUACUUCAUGGAGUAUUCUUUUCUUCAUGAGUUAAACAAUGAUAAAGAUAGUUGGAUGAUAAGGGUUAGGCUUUGUAAAAUGUAGGAGUCUGUUAAUACUAAGAAGAAUGGAGAGUUGAUUAGUGUGAACAUAAUUUUUAUUGAUGAAAAUGUUGUGUAUACUUAACUAUACACAUUAAUAUAUAUUUUUUAAGUUAACAAAAAAAUAAUUAACUUUCAUAAAUAACAUUAGUUUUAUAAGGCUGCGUCAUCUUUAAAAAAAAAUUAAUUCAUAUUUUUUUAUCAAUUUUAUUAAGUGUAAAGUAAUAAAAAAAUAAUACUAUUUUUUUUAAAGCCGCACGAAGUGCGGUUCUAUUUCCUAGUAUAUAUAUAAAGUUAGGACUUGAGGAGGUGAUGUGGCAUCACCAUUUUGCUUCUUUGUAUAUUCUCUAUUAUCUAAUAAAUAUAGAUUUUUAUUUUUAGAUUUGGCUUUUCAUCUUCUCAUAAUUAAUUUGAUUGUAUUUAACUCAUUUAAUAAAUAGUAACUUUAUUAAUAUAUAUCAUUCCUCAUCUUUUUAUAUUUUCUAUUAUCUAAAAUAUCUAAAAUAUUGGUGGAUAUUCUUUGUAUUUUUUUUCUCUUUCUAUUUAAAUUCAACAAUAUGUAAUCAUCUAUCUAUCUAUAUCUAUAUCUAUCUAUAUAUAUAUAUAUAUAUAUAAAGCUAGGACUUGAAGAGGUGAUGUGGCAUCACCAUUUUGCUUCUUUGUAUAUUCUCUAUUAUCUAAUAAAUAGAGAUUCUUAUUUUUAGAUUUGGCUUUUCAUCUUCUCAUAAUUAAUUUGAUUGUAUUUAACUCAUUUAAUAAAUAGUAACUUUAUUAAUAUAUAUCAUUCCUCAUCUUUUUAUAUUUUCUAUUAUCUAAAAUAUCUAAAAUAUUGGUGGAUAUUCUUUGUAUUUUUUUUCUCUUUCUAUUUAAAUUCAACAAUAUGUAAUCAUUAAUAAUAAUUAAUCAUAAGUCUUUUGAAACAUUUAUUUAUUUUAUUAUGCUAGCAAUUAAACUUUAGUGGCAUAAAAUACAUGAAUUAAUUAACAUAGGAAGAGAGGUUCUUUCAUCUAGUUGGGACUACAAGAGGUGAUGUGGCAUCACCAUUUCUCAUAAUUUCAUAUUGUCUAUUAUUUAAUAAAUUGGUUGAAAUUAAAAAAUAAUUACAUUACAAAAUAUUAAAAUAGAAAAUAAUUAUUAGAUUAUAAAUGAUUACAUGUCUUUUCCUCUUUCUAUUUAAAUUCAACAAUAUGUAACCAUUAAUAAUAAUUAAUUAUAAGUCUUUUGAAACAUUUAUUUAUUUUAUUAUGCUAGCAAUUAAACUUUAGUGGCAUAAAAUACAUGAAUUAAUCUAUCUAUCUAUCUAUACAUAUAUAUAAAGUUGGGACUACAAGAGGUGAUGUGGCAUCACCAUUUCUCAUAAUUUCAUAUUGUCUAUUAUUUAAUAAAUUGGUUGAAAUUAAAAAAUAAUUACAUUACAAAAUAUUAAAAAUAAAAAAUAAUUAUUAGAUUAUAAAAGAUUAUAUGUCUCUUCCUCUUUCUAUCUAAAUUCAAUAAUAUGUAACCAUUAAUAAUAAUUAAUUAUAAGUCUUCAAACAUUAAUUUAUUUUAUUAUGCCAACAAUUAAACUUUAGUGGCUUAAAUAUAUCAAUUAAUUAAUAUANNNNNNNNNNNNNNNNNNNNNNNNNNNNNNNNNNNNNNNNNNNNNNNNNNNNNNNNNNNNNNNNNNNNNNNNNNNNNNNNNNNNNNNNNNNNNNNNNNNNNNNNNNNNNNNNNNNNNNNNNNNCUUUUCAUCUUCUCAUAAUUAAUUUGAUUGUAUUUAACUCAUUUAAUAAAUAGUAACUUUAUUAAUAUAUAUCAUUCAUCAUCUUUUUAUAUUUUCUAUUAUCUAAAAUAUUGGUGGAUAUUCUUUGUACUUUUUUUUUCUCUUUCUAUUUAAAUUCAACAAUAUGUAAUCAUUAAUAAUAAUUAAUUAUAAGUCUUUUGAAACAUUUAUUUAUUUUAUUAUGCUAGCAAUUAAACUUUAGUGGCAUAAAAUACAUGAAUUAAUUAACAUAGGAAGAGAGGUUCUUUCAUCUAUAUAUCUAUCUAUAUAUAUAAAGUUGGGACUAAAGGAGGUGGUGUGGCAUCACUAUUUCUCAUCUUCUUAUAUUAUCUAUUAUCUAAUAAAUUGGUUGAUAUUAAAAAAAUAAUUACAUUACAAAAUAUUAAAAAUAAAAAAUAAUUAUUAGAUUAUAAAAGAUUAUAAAAGAUUAUAUGUCUCUUCCUCUUUCUAUUUAAAUUCAAUAAUAUGUAACCAUUAAUAAUAAUUAAUUAUAAGUCUUCAAACAUUAAUUUAUUUUAUUAUGCCAAAAAUACAUCAACUAAUUAAUAUAGGAAGGAAUGUUCUUUCAUCUUCCCUCAAUAAUGCCAUUAGGGUCUAAUUUUAAUGCUAUAAUCUCAUAUUUAAUUAUGCAACCUUUUGUUUAGUGCCUUUUGGCUUCUUCAAACUCUAUAAAUAUUAAGUAGUUAAGAUUUGUGGCAUUAUUAUUUCUCAUCUUUUUAUAUUCUCUAUAAUCUAAUAUAUUGGUUGAGAUUAAAAAAUAAUUACAUUACAAAAUAUUAAAAAUAGAAAAUAAUUAGUAGAUUAUAAAAGAUUACAUGUCUCUUCUUCUUUCUAUUUAAAUUCAACAAUAUGUAACCAUUAAUAAUAAAUUAAUUAUAGUUUUGAAACAUUCAUUUAUUUUAUUAAGCCAACAAAUAAACUUUAGUGGUUUAAAAUACAUCAACUAAUUAAUAUAGGAAGGAAUGUUCUUUCAUCUUCCCUCACCAAUACCACUAGGACCUAAUUUUAAUGUCAUAAUUUCAUAUUUAAUUAUACAACCUUUUAUUUAGUGUCUUUUAGCUUCUUCAAACUAUAUAAAUAUUAAGUAUUUAAGAUUUGUUAUGUUUGUAUUUUUUUUAAUUAUUUAACCAACAUCCUCUUCAGAAAUAUUCUUGUGUUUUUAUUUUUUACUUAUUUAAUUUUUUUUAUUGUGUACUUCAUGGAGUAUUCAUUUCUUUAUGAGUUAAAUAAUGAUAAAGAUAGUUGGAUGAUAAGGGUUAGGCUUUGUAAAAUGUGGGAGUCUGUUAAUACCAAGAAGAAUGGAGAGUUGAUUAGUGUGAACAUAAUUUUUGUUGAUGAAAAGGUUGUGUACACUUAACUAUACACAUUAAUAUAUAUUUUUAAAGUCAACAAAAAAAUAAUUAACUUUCAUAAAUAACAUUAGUUUUAUAAGGUUGCGUCAUCUUUUAAAAAAAAUCAAUUCAUAUUUUUUAUCAGUUUUAUCAAGUGUAAAGUAAUAAAAAAAUAAUACUAAUUUUUUUUAAAAGCUGCACAUUUCCUAGUUAUAUAAUAAAAUUCGGUAAUGGAAAGUUUAUGGAGUUGGAUAGGUAUUGAAAUAGAAAAGAUUUGUUAAGAGACAAGAGAGUGAAAAUUUAAUACAAUGGGAUCUACGAUAAUUAAUUAGUUUUUACAAUUGAAAAAUUAUAUAUAAGCCAUAAUGUUAACCCUUGGAUAAACUUUAAUCUAGUGACUAGAAAAUUAUGUCCAAAAUUACUCUGUGUGUGUGUAUAUAUAUAUAUAUAAUCAUUCUCAAGUGUGGAUGUCUGUAAUUUUUUUAAUAUGGACACACUUUUAAACCGUACGGCUUAAAAGAGUCAGUUUCUAAAUAAACUAUAAAACCAUGUGGUCUAAAAAAAUUAAAAACUAAUUUUCUUAAAUCCUACAGCUUUAAAGUGUGUCCGCAUGAAAAGAAAAAAUAAAGGCACCCGUAUUAGAGAAGAAUAUAUAUAUACAUACACACCCCGCCCUUUUUCACCAAAUGAAUAAAGGAAUCAAUAAAGUUGCAAAUUAACCAUUUUAUAUAUACAAAUUGAUGCGACAUAGUACAUGUUUCCUUUUAUUCAUUUUUGUUUAUUCAAUUAAAGUUGUGAGGCAUGCAAGUUAAUUUCGUACAAGAUAGAGAAACUGUCCACUAAUCGAGUGAUCUUGUGUAAUGCAUGGUUAUUUACUUAUGUAUGUGGAUUGCUAAGAACGGUAAAAUUCUAAAUCUAAACUAAAGUUAGUUAGAUUAUGCGUAAAAUUCAAACUGGCAAUUUUCAACACCACUCCCGAAUCGGACAUGAGAUAAUAGGUUUGCUUUGUCUAAAAUUGACGCACGGAUAUUAUUAAAUGUGUCAAAUUCAGGUGUCCUGUUUAGUAUUUAUGCCGUGUUCGGAUUUAGUUCUACAUGAUAAUUCAUCUGUUAUGUGAUUAACGACUUAUUUUUUCAUAUGGUAAAACUACGUUAUAUUUGCCAUUUUUUUCUUUUUAAAUUAGUUAUAUUUUAUGUGGAUUAGAAUUUGAGUAAGUUACACUAGAAAUAUUUUAGACACAUAUAUUAUGUCAUAUCUAUAUCUAUAUAUCUAUAUAUAAAGCUGGGACUUGAGGAGGUGAUGUGACAUCACCAUUUCUCAUAUUUGUAUAUUCUCUAUUAUCUAAUAAAUAGAGAAAUUUUCUUUUAGAUUUGGUUUUUUAUCUUCUCAUAAUUAAUUUGAUUAUUAUUACUUAAUAACAAUUAUGUAAAGAUUUUAAUGAGAUAUAUUCUUUGUAAUGAACAUCCAAGAGGGAGUGUUAUGAAUUUAUUAAAAUAAAUAUAGAUGUUCAUAACAUAUAUUUCUUAGUCUCCCCACUAUCUCCCAUUAGCAACUUUUAGCUUCCUUAUAACUCCCACUAUCUCACAAGGAAUUAUGAUUCAUAAUUUUUCAUUAAUUUCAUGGAGUGAUUAUGUAACUAUAAAAGGAGAGCUCAUCUUUUUGUUUUGUAUACACACAAUUGGAAUGAAUAAAAUCACUCUAUAAUAUAUUCUCUCAUUUUAUUCUUUAUCUUGUGUUUCUUCUUUAUUUGUAUUGCUGGCUAAUAUUUUUUUUUUAUAAGGCUGCCUCAUCUUAAAAAAAAAUUAAUUUAUAUUUUUUAUCAGUUUCAUCAAGGGUAAAGUAAGAAAAAAUGAUAAUACUAAAUUCUUUUUUCAAAGCCGCGUGAAGCGUGGUUCUAUUUUCUAGUUAAUUUAUAAAUCUAAAUCUUUUCAGAUUUCUAUGGUAUUUUGACAUAAUGUUGACACUUCAAUAUAGUUGUGGUGUAUUAGGUAUUUAUUCCCAUAUUUAUCACACUAAUGGCUAAUUAAGAAUUAAAUGGAAUAAUACUUAACUAACAAAAUAAAUGUGAAAUACAAAUAUGAGAGAGUUGUUAUAGCCAUAAUUUCAAAUCCCAGAGUAGAUCUCAUAACCUUAGCAUAUUUUUAGAUUGAUUUUUAUUAAUAUCUUUACCCGUAUUUAAUUUUUUGUUGUUUAACAACUUGACUACUGAAUUUUAGUUUCCUAUUGUUUGACUCCGGAUUCACGGAUUUAUAUUCUAACCAGAUACUUUUAUAUUUGGGAGUAAUAACACUUUUGAGUUGUGUCAGAAAGCACGUGGUAUAUUGAUAGAUGAUCAGUACAGUUGGAGAGCUUAGUUUUACAAUAAAAAAGCACAUUGUACAUGGAUUGGUGAUUUCUCUAUAAAAAUAAAAUGGUAGGAUAUAUAUAUAUAUAUAUAUAAUGUGCUCUCUUUGUAGAGAUAUUAUGUUAAUACUAUGUGUGAAUCUUUUCAUAAGAAGAACUUGAUCAAAAUACAUAUUUUUUAAUUACAAUUAUAAAACAUCAGGAAAGCAUAUAAACUUCACUUAUGUUAAUGACUGCAUGUCCAUUUAGCAUUUUAAUGGUCUAUCAUUAUAUUUUUUAUAGUAGACAAAAUUUUCAUUCUCUCUGUUAAUUCUUCUCCAUAUCAGGUAUAAUAAUAUCAAACUGCUAAUUGGAUCUAGUUCCACGAUUAUCAAACACAGUUGGUGCAUUGCGGCAAAUUUAGGUCAUAACUCUUCAUUGUCUACUGAGAUCAUGGUCGUUAUUCAUGCGAUCACCCAAGCCUAUGAGCUCGGUUCUAGGUUUAUUUGUUUAGAGAAUUACUCAAUGGCUGACCCUCUGUUAUCUCUCGCCAUCUCAAAAAAAUUUUUAAGGCACCUUGGAUGGUUCAUAGUCAUUGGCCCAAUUGUCGUGUAAUGAUUUCACACAUGUCCUUCAAUUACACCCCGUUUAUCGUGCAGACAAUCCGCGAGUUGCAAAUUGGAUGAGGAUGUCCUCAAUUUUCUUGGUUUAAUUCUCCUUCUCCUUAAGAUUAAGAAGCUCUUUUCAAGGAUAGAUUGGGUUUUCCUAACUAUAGAUUCUCUUAACCUUUGUCUUAUUGUCUCUACAGUGUGUUUUAGGAGAUAAAUCCCUCUAUAAUUUUGUAUUGACUUUAUUUUUCUUUAUAUUUUAUUGACGAGCUUUAUUUGAAAAAAGAAAAUACCACACCACGACAUACGAACAUAUCAAAGCUGUCUAUACUCAUUGAAGAAACUUUGAAGAAAGUAAAUUAUGAGUUACUCCUAAAAUAUGUUUAGUUGAAUCUUUCACAGGUUAAUUUUAAAAAUAAAAAUAAAAAACUUUAGAAAUUAUUAAGAGUCCACUCAAAUAUAAUUUCUCCCAUUAUAAAAAAAACACACAAAAACUUUUAAUUUAUUCAAGUUAUAUCUGAAAAUUUGUUUUUAAGUGAUACUUGAUGUCCAUUAUUUCACUGUGUAUUGACCUCUAGGCCCGUAAUGCCACAGCAAUUUAUCCUCACAAUUGGAUUGAGGGAGAGGAAUCUUCGUAAUUUACUCAACAUCUAUCUUCAUAGACUGGCGUUUGAUUAAUUCUUUAACUCACUGGUUCUGUUCAGUAAUCAACUUAAUAAAGAAAGGGCGCUAAAAUUAAUUUAAUAACAAUCUAUGAUGACAUUACAAAAACGAAAAUUUAAUAAUUAGCUCUCCUCAUCUUAUUUAAAAAUGCACUUUUCUUAUAGCAUGACAAGGUGACAUACAUUAAAUUAACUCAAAACAAACAAAACAAAAACACCAGCAACUAGGUAGAAACUUCAUCUUAAUUACUCGGCUUGUGAUUCAAUCCGUUCCUCUAACACACCUAUUGUUGCCUCCACUUUUCCAAUGUGUUUCAUCUUGGCUGCCUUAUUCUCUUCAACAACCCUUCUCUUAUCCUCAAUUGUCCUCUCCAAUUUUUCAAGAGUAUUUUGCUCACCAGGUUGAAACCCUUCAAUUUGGUUCACAAUUUUUCCAUACUGCUCAAGUGUUUCCCUCACUUCAAAGAUACCAACGUCCUUCCCAUUAGGAGCUUCAGCUUCCAUUCUCUCUUUUGGUGGAUCUAUGAUGCUGAAGCUGAAAUAUACAAAGGAAUGAGGGAAGCAAGUAGUUCGUUAGAUUAUGUAAAUUUAUAGUUGAUAUCCUCUAGAGAAAAAUAAAUUAAAAUUUUGAUGGGCCCAUUAUCUUUGCUAGGUAAACCAUGCAUUUAUAAUUCUCCCAAAUCAUGUCUUGUUAGUGAUCUAUCUAUAUUGAACCAUACAUUACUCAUUUUUUAACUAUUUGUUUCUUUCUUAAUUGCACGUAAAGGUGGUAAUUUUUACUUUUGUGUCAAGUCAAAUUUGAGUCAACUUGAACUCAAACAUUACUCAUUUUUUAACCAUGUCAAAAAUUUCAAACACCAAUCCAAUUUAUUUAUCAUGUGUCACUCAUUCAAUAUCUUUUUAAUAUAUAUGUGUCUAAAAUAUGUCUAGUGUAACUUACUCAAAUUCUAAUCUACAUAAAUAUAACAAAUUAAAAAAAAAGGUGGCAAAUAUAACGUAGUUUUACUAUAUGAAAAAUAUGUCGUUAAUCACAUAAAAAAUUAAUUAUCUUGCAGAACUAAAUCUAAACCCGGCAUAAAUACUAAACAGGACACCUGAAUUUGACCCAUUUAAUAGUAUCCGUGUGUCAAUUUUAGACAAAGCAAGCCUAUUAUCUCAUGUCCGAUUCGGGAGUGGUGUUGAAAAAUGCCACUUUGAAUGUUAUGCGUAAUCUAACUAAUUUUUGUUUAGAUUUAGAAUUUUACAGUUCUUAAUAAUCCACAUACAUAAGUAACCGUGUAUUACACAAGAUCACUCGAUUAGUGGACCGUUUCUUUAUCUUAUACGAAAUUAAUUUGCAUGCCUCACAACUUAAAUAAACAAAAAUGAGUAAAAGGAGACAUGUAAUAUAUCACAUCACUUUGUAUAUAUUAAAUGGCUAAUUUGUACCUUUAUUGAUUCCAUUAUUCAUUUGAUGAAAAAGGUGCUAUAUAUAUAUAGUGGCGCCCUUAUUUUUUUUUUUUUCAUGCGAACACACUUUAAAACCGUAAAGUUUAGGAGAGUUAGUUUUUAACUCUAUUAAACUAAGGGUUUUAUAUGUCAUGUAGAAACUAACUUUUUAAAUCGCAUAGUUUAAAAGUGUGUCCGCAUUAAAAAAAAUACAGACGUUUGUACCUGAGAAUGAUUUUAUAUAUAUAUAUAUAUAUGGACAGCAAUUUUAGACAUAAUUUUCUAGUCACUAGAAUAAAGUUGAUCCAAGGGUUAACAUUAAGGCUUAUAUGUAAUUUUUCAAUUGUAAAGACUAAUUGAUUAUCGUAGAUCCCACUAUAUUAAAUUUCCACUCUCUUGUCUCUUUACAACUCUUUUCUAUUUCAAAACCUUUCCAACUCCAUAAACUUUCCAUUGCCGAAUUUUAUUAUAUAAUAUGAAACAUGCAUUUUAGUUCCUUUCAAAACAAAAUCCAUUUUAGUUAGACUAAAAAAAACUAUAUUAGUAAUUUAAUUACUUGUUAAAUCUCACUGGAAAAUCAAUCUAAUUUGUAUAAAAUGGAUUCACCGUCGUCAUCACUCUUUUCAUAUCUCCUCUGCACCAUCGCAUUCAUUCGUUACUGAAAUUCUUUUGUGUUUCAAUUAAUGAUCAAUCUCUAACUCGAGAUUUGAAACUAAAAAUUUAACAUUGUCAGACUAAAAAGCCAUAUGUUCUUCCAAGCAAAAUACCUUCUAGUCAUUAUAUUGUUCCCCAAUGACCCAAUUCUUCAAUUUGUGCACGGUUAACUCCUCAUCAAAAUCAUCAUAGAAGUUCCUGAAAAUUCUAUUCCUAUAAAUCUUACCCAUUAUUCGAGUUCCAAUCUCAAAAUUCUCAAGUUUCUUUUAUUUUGACUUUCGAUUUUACCCCUUACCCUAUUACAUAGCUAAAUCUAUUAAAAACAACAACAACACUUGUCUUUAUCUUUUAUCAAUAAUUUGCAAAACCUUUUUUAUUGAAUUAAAACUUUUUUGCUUUAACUUUCAAGAUACAAAACUCGGUAAGGAGGAUCUAAUAAAGGAAAGAGAGGGAAGAUAUAAUAAAAGGUUGGGGACCACUGCUGAUUAUUGUUACCAUUAAAAAAAAAAUACUAUGUAAGUUUCAAUUUAACACAUUAAAAAAAGUAUCAUCUAAUGAUUAAAAAAAUAUAUUCAAAAUUAUAUCUUUUGAAUAUGUCCCUAUAUAUAUAGGGGAUAGGAUCGAAAGCCCUUUUUUUCGACAUAAUAUUAUACACAAAAUCUUAACCCUUCAAUAGCAUUCAAAUCAAUGGACUAAAUUAAAUGCUGAUUUUUAUUUUUAUAAAUAACAAAACAAAAAAAAUUAAUGGGCCCCGUAAUAUAUUAUUAAAAAUUUUCUAUUCUUUUUCCUAUUUUAUCUUCAUAAUUAAUAAUAUUUGAUCCUCUCUAAUCAUUCACUUACAUUAAAUAACUCUUCCCUAAAUCGUAAGUACAAGCAUCAAUAGCAUAAAAUGGGAAACAAAAAGUUGAGAUGCCGUGGUGUUGGUUUUAGCUCAUUAAAUAAAGUUUCUCUAAUAUUUGAUGUCAGAAAUUACUGGGUAUUUCCUCAUAUGAAUAAAAUAUCCGCGAGUGUUGCUUGGGCUAUUGAGCGGUAAAAGAAUCGAAUCAAUUAAUUAUUUGUCUUUCUUUUUCAACAAGUAACUCGAUUUGCUUCAAUCACCAACUUCUACGACAUUACGUUCAUAUAGCAUCUAACUUUAUUUGGGGCUUUCAAGUUCUGUAGCAGUUAAGCUUUCAUUGGUUUUCUUUAUUUAAAAAAUAAAAAUUAACAAAAGAUAUCUAAUUGAAGAUUUUCGUUUCAAAAGUUCUAUAGAUAGGUUUAACAAGGGGAAAAAAUCAAUUUUGUAUUUAACCUUUUCGUUUAUAUUUUCUAUUUAGUUCCUUAACAAAUUUCUUUUUAAUAACAAAUUAAGUUUCAGGUGUGUUUAUAUCAUUAGUUCUUCUUCUAUGCUCUUGCAUGCUCAUGGUUAGGGGUGGAUGUUCGGAUUGGGUUAAAGGUUGUAACUAAUUUGGGUUGAAAAUUGAAACCCCAAAUUGAAAUACAACCCGAUCGGGUUAAUCAAGAAAAUUUAAAAAAAAAAACAAAUAACUUAAAAAGCAGAAACAUAUUUGAUGCCUUGGAUUUUUUUUCUUGUUAACAGGUUUCAGUGAUGAAAUCCCACUAAUGGUUCUUUCUUCUCAUCAUUAAUAUGUAGUGUUAAGUCAAUUAUUUAUAGAGUUGGCAUCUUAUGACAAUUAUAGUUAAAUUGAAAUUUGAUUUAUUGCAUAUAUUGUAAUAGAGAUUAAUUUAUUAAUUCCCUAAUUUAAUGAGAUUUCAAUUUAUUAGAAAUAUUUGUUUCCUAAUUUAAUUAGAUGUCUGAUUUAGUAAGUCAAUUAAUAAUGAGAUUCUAUAAUUUGCACAUGAGAUCCAUUUAGAGAAAGAAGUUGGUCCAAAAAGGAAGUUUAUUAAAUGCUCUAGAUGUUAAAGAAGCAUUAACAUGAUAAAUCCUGAGGGGCAACCCUCCCAUGGUCUCCACCCGGGGUGGAAGGCGACCCCGACUGGAACCCAUUGAUUUGGCCGACCAGCCAGCCACCACGAAAUAACCAAACAAAAAACAAGAAAAAUAUAUAAUAACAGAAACAGGAGAAAACCGAGCUCUCUUGCCACCAUUGAUUUGGCCGAUCAUGGUGAUUUCCACCGUUGUCGCCGCCUUCCCAUAUGGCACACGAAGCUGCAACCUUCGGAAUAACUACCCAGUACCCAGCCACUGCACCAAACCCCCUUGAUCCAAACCACCGCAACACAUAUUCCACCACGCACCACCGAAACUCAAUGCAGCACAAAACCUCUGAAGAUACAAACCAGCCGCUCCCUCAAGCAUCCUUGAUCCAAACCACGCAUGCAGCUCCUUCGGCAUGCAAAAACUAUAUGCAUAACCAAACAAAUGCUUGUAUCUCCGACCAUGAAAACCGCAGCUGUGCUUUCAAUCAAUCAUCGUCACAGCCGCCACCUGGAGCUUCAGCUACCCCCGCCUCCACUCCCUUGAGGCUACAACAAUCUCCAUCCAUCCUCGCACCCCAAAACGAAGGAAGAAAACAAUCACUACAAGAAAACCGAUUAGUACCGAGGGACACAUUCCCUCGGUAUUUCUGUAAAUCCCUCAGUAAUAGUGAUUACCGAGGGAUUCUUUCCAUUGGAGUCCGUCGUGAAAGCGUUUGUCGUUACUUCUGUACAACCGACAACCCUCGGAAAUAGGUACUAUUUCCUACGGAUGUUUUCCUUGAUAUAAAAAUUAACGUUCCUCGGUAAAAGUAUUCAAACGAGGAAGAAAAACACUUCCUAAGGCUAUUUUUUGUAGGUAAUAGUUAACUUCCGAUGGUGUGUUUUUUGUCGGUACAAUUAUGAUUCGUCGGAAAUAGAAAUUCCGACUGCAUAUGGCACUUGGAACAAAAUUUAGGGGAUAAUGAAUAUUCCCUCGGAAAUGUUAAAUAUUGACCACUGACAUUUCGUCGGAAAUCAAUGUUUCGUCGGAAAUCAAUAAUUAAUUAAGAACAUUAAUAUUACGUUAUUUUUUCUUUUUUUGUUAUAUCAAUUAAUUCGGUCCUAAAAUCAUAGAAUCAUAGAAUCAAUGUGUAAUAAAAUUAAAACAGUUAUUAUAAAAUAUCAUUAGUUCAUUAAAUUAAAAUAACAAUCAAUACAUGUAACAAAAGCCAAAUGUAGUUCAUUGAUGGUUCAGCUUCAUGCAAAAUGAUUUCGCAUCUUCAGAUUCUCACACAUCAACAACUAAGGUUGUACAUCCAUACUUCUUAAAUAUUCCAGCUAUUUGGCUCAUCACUUUCAAUUUGUUCCUCAUCUUCAUCCUCUACUCUAGUGUCCUGCAUUAUUAUUUCAAAAUCUAUUUUAUACAAGUGCGCCAUGCUAUAAUAUUAACUAAAGAAACAAAGGGACAAUAACACUAAAUAAAAUUAGUCCAAACACUUGACAUAUUAAAACCGAAAAAUUUUUAAAGUAGAAUUAAAGGCAAACAAGCGCUAACUUAUUUAGUCCAACUAAAGAAGAGAUGCACAAUCCAAUCACCAAAGGCAAAAACAUCCUGAAACUCAAUAAAUUUUCGCAAGCAUCAUAUAAUGGUACAAUAUAAGUAAGUUGAUACACAAGCACGGCAAUCCUUUCAGUUGCCGAAAAGAAAUGAUAUCUUUAUAAAACAACAGUCAUGGCAACAAAAAAUCCUACAUCAUUUCUAAUUCUCUCUUUUUUCAGUCAUCAUUCUUCUAAUAGACUAUAUGAAACUACACAGACCAAUUUUCAUAAAACUUAUCCUUAAAAGAGAAGAAAAAUGACUAAAAUAGAUUAAUGGCAAAAGAAAAUAAUUUCAUUUAGCAUUAUGCGCAUCAAUCAUAAGUUCCAUUUAAGAGACAAAAAGAAAAAUAAUCAUACCAUGUUAGACACUUGCUGGAAGCUUGAUUGAGACUUAACAAAAUUCAUUUUCUCUUCCAUUAUUUUCAUUUGAUCUUUUACUUUUCCAAGCUCACUUAAUUCCUCUUCCAUUUAAUUCCAAUUCUCUCCUUGGUAUAACAUGAAUGUCCUUGCUGCUCCCGUCAUCCAAGGAAAGAUAGACAUCCCUUGGUUUCAUACCUACACCUCAUAUAAAAAGUUAAUUUUUCUUUUUGUUCUAGAUUAACGAAAACAAAGUACACAAAAGGUCUCCAAACCAAUCAGAUUUUAUAGAUAAUAUUACAAUAUUCUAGAUUAAGAAUCUAAUUUAUACAAGUAAAUUAUUCAAGUUCAAAGGUUAAAAGUAAAGAAAAAAACCAAUUCAUUAUAUUUAUAUUAUUACCUCCAACCCAGCCCACAACUCGACAUUUCCGGUGGCAUAUUACUAAAAAUCAUUAAAAAUAAAUAUAAGGAAAUUAAUUUGCUACUGAAUAAACUACUAAAUAAACCAAAAAGAAAAACUACUAAAUAAACAAAUAAAGAAAGGAAGAUAAAGCCAUAGUACAGGAUGUCCUAGUAAUUAAUCACAUAGUAUGGACUCCAAGUAAUAUAAACACAAUAAAUAUGCAAAAAAAAAAAAAAAGACAAUGUUACAUUACCGUGAUCUUUCAGAAGCCACGAGGAGUGAUGAGAAAAAUAAGCUGUCACACGCCUUGGUCACCAAACUAGAUACUGAAAUCUUCAAUUUGCUGCAAAUUAAUUUCAAGAAUAUUAAAAUUUAAUUCCAGUAUUAUUCUUGUCAACUCUUCAAUUUCAAAAUUAAUUUGCAAGGAGUGGCUGUAUGAUCGUAAUUUUUUACCAAGAAUGGACAAAAUUAAGUGGAAUCGCAAUCAGUAAUGCAAAAUAAAGUGGUAUUGCAAAUUCCUACAAACGAACAGAAUUCUCAAAUGCUAAAUAAUAAUAAAUUAAUACGAUUAAAAUAUUGAAAUUGAAAUAGAACAAAUAUGUAACAAGUAUACCUUUGUUCUUCAGAUUUUGGUGAGUGGCAUCAUUAUUACUUUAAAUCUUCUUUCACAACCUUCAGCAAUGAAAAAAAAAAGUAAUAUAAUGAGCUAUUAUCAUUUCAUUCCUUAAAAUAUAUGUGUGUAAUCAAAUAAAACAAUCAGAAUUUUAAAGCUGGAGUAACAUGGAUUAUUGUUUAAUUAAAAUCUAAAUAAAGUGAAAAGACAUUAAAAUAGCCUGAAAAAUUUGGGUCCUAUUUCAUAUUUAUUAAUUUUAAAACAAAUAAUUAAACAAAACUAGAUUUUGUGUUUUUUUUUUCCUUUCAGCAUUAUCUCUGAAACAAAAAUUAUAAAAAUACAUUUUUUUUUCCUUUCAGUGUUAUCUUUAUAACAAAGUUUUCAAGAACUCUUUCAUAAUGGAAAGUCAAACCCAAUACCCCGCAAAAUUAUGAGGAAAAAGCAAAACCCGACCAUUGCAUGAGUAAGUUUUGAUUUCAAAAAUCCUUCAUAAUUAAAAUUUAUUUUUAUCAUCUUUAAUUAAAAAAAAACCCUCUGUUUUAACCAAAUAAUAUAAGAAAAUAAGCAAGCAAAAUGAAAAGGGGAAAUAAUACUCACAUUGGAAAUCGUACUGUGAAGAUAUGAAUUUGAUGAAGAAAGAUGCUACAUUCCUCUCAAGGUUUCUAAAAUUGGAUUUGUUUUUAUGAGAGUGCAAGCAAAAGAAAGAAGCAAUGUCUUUUUUUUUUAUUAUUAAGAUGGGCUCAAUAAGACGAGCUAAAACGGAACAAUACGGGGUUUAGCAACCCCAAACAUCUCUUGCAAAAUAACUGAAUAAAUGCUUACAGGCGGGCUAUUAAAUAAAUGUAACCCAUGAGGGAGUGAAUGAGCCAUAUUGGCCAUAAAAUCUGCAACUGAAUUCGCUUCACGAAAGAUGUGAAUGAUGGAGACUUGCCAGUUCCUGUUAAGAAGAUCCCGUACUGCACAACUAAUGCAUAGGAAACAUUAGGAUUCGUCUUUUGCUUUUGCUUUUAACUACCGAUGGAUACUUUAUAUUUUCCGACAAAUUUUUCCCUCGGCGGUGCUUUCACUUCCCGCGAUAAUUCACGAUACGGAGGGAUUUUAUUCUCUUUAGCGGCGAUUUAUUUUUCCUCGGUAAUAACAUGUGGAUUUUUUUAAUUUUACCUACAAACGAUUAACAUCUCUCGAAAAUACAUCUUUUACCUAUGGAAUUUUUCCCUCGAAAAUAAAUUGUGGGAAAUACCCAAUUUUGUUGUAGCGCAACAAGGAGAAAGAGAAGCAAGUUUUGUCAUCAUCGAAAGCCGCAACACAAGCCGCACGCCGCCUCUGUCCGAUAAGCCUCCACAGGCAAUCACUGCAACACCGAACUCGUCACCUCUGCGGCCACCCCCUCGAGUCUGCAACAUCCUCCAUCAAACCAAGCAGUCCCACUCAUACGCUCCUCACACGAACCCCACCGUGUGCAUGAACGCCAAUCAACCUCCAACAACUGCUGCAUGCCGUCACCACCGCUGGAGCCACAGCAACUCACUUCUGCCGUCACCGUCAGCGAUAGUGCUAUCAAACCUUCAUCACUAUUACUGAUUGUCAACGGCUGCCUCGAGCCUUUUCCGCCGCUGCCACCGUUGGAAGUUGGAACAAGACAGCCAUUCCCAGCAAGCAUGUCCAUGGUCAAGGCAAAGUCAAAAUGAGAUGCUUGACAACUGCCAUCGACUUUCGGCAGCUCCUGUUGUUUGAUUUUUCAAAGCAAAGUUUGAUUUUAAUUUUUUAGUUAGAUUUUAAAAAAAAUUUCGUCAAGGUGGAGAAUUGUUGCAAAAUUUAAUACAAUUAAAAUCAAACUUUACUUUGUGGGCACCAAAUUGAAUGCCCAUCAAAGUUGAUUUUUUUGUUUCAAACUUCAAUUUUCCAAUUUGACAAAUUGGCCAAAUUGGAUGUAAUGAUUGGUGAACAAUGCCUAUAAAUAGAGAGGAAAGGUUAGAGCUUUAAUCAUCCCAAUUUUUAGAAUGAGUAAGUGAAGAAAUUUGAGAGUUUUGAGAGAGCUUCUACUUGAGUGCUAGGAGGAUUUAAUUGGGUGUAUUGGGGUUUUGAGUUUUUAGAGUUUUUAGAGUUUUUCCACUUUUGUAAAGCCCCAUUAUCAGUACAAUUAUCUUCCAGUCUUUCCCCGUGGACGUAGGUUUUAGGCCGAACCACGUAAAAUUAUUGCGUCUUUUUUCUUUGCAUUUAUUUAUAUCACGUUUAUAUUUCUCUAGAAAUUACAAUCACCGUAAUAUUGGUAAUUGCUCAACCCGCGCUUCCGCAACAACUCCCACAUGUAAUGUUCCCACAUAUGGUAGCCACAACACCUUUCGGCUGCUUAAGACUUUUUGUCUACCAUGGGCUUAAAGCACAAAAUUCUCACUUGCCCAAAAUGCCCUCACGUGUAAUCAUCCAAGUGCAUGCAACACAUGCACAACUCCUCACACACUCAAGCCUACCUCUUACGCCUUAAUGUUGAGUUCCUGGCUAAUCGGAAUCAACAUGAUCGUCCAACAAAAUCAUUCGUGGAUACUAUUAAUGGGUCCAUUGUCACGACAGUUCCAAUCAAUACCGUCUCUUUAUUUGAGGGUGAGCCUUUCUUGCAAUUUUUGGCUAUGGAAGUUUAAGUGAUAGCCACUUCCUUCAAAUUUUCAUUGGUCGGUAAAUUCUCUUAUAACCGACCUUGCAUGGAAAUUAUUCGCAAUUUUUUUGCAUCUUUGGGAUUGAAGGGAAAUCCGAAGCGUCCCUCCUCGAUAAUUGGCAUAUUUUCAUAAAUCUUGAUUUUGAGGAAGAUUACUCCUGCUUAUGGGUAAAGCAGUCAUGGUAUGUUAAUGGUAGUACCAUAAGAGCAUUUAAAUAGACCACUGAAUGCCCAGUAGUGAAUGCCCAGCAAAUGUCAAAGUAUAAUUAUGAACCAAAUAGACCAAAACUUACUUUUGUUUAAUGAUUUACGAAAUCUAUUUCACUAGAAGGCAUCUCAUUAAUUUCACCUGAUUGUUUAGCAGGUUUAAAACUGAUCUUAUCAAGGCAGAUUUUCACAUUGGCUAACUAAGAAGAAAAAUCGACAUUUAUGAUCCAGCAAAGUUAUGCGGCUAAGCCUAAAAUUCUGCAGCCAACAAAGUUGUAACAAAGCCGCAGCAAAGUUCAUGAUCCAGCAGCAACUUAAAAAUCUUAUAGGAAAAGAAGGGGGGAAAAAAAAGAGAAGUCAAGAAGUCAAUGCAUUUGAAGGCUUUGUAAAGAACAGAUUCUGCCCCCUCCAAAUAAUUUCCAAGUACGACAAGGGUAGCUUGAUGCAGUGAUUGCGGCGAGAUGGCGCACCAGCAGCGACGGAGAUUGAGAUGAAGCAGCAACGACACCAGAGAUGAAGUGCAGCAACCGAGAUGGGCACACUGAGAGAGAGCAGAUCUGGAGAGAAAAGGAUACAUAGCUCGUUGUUGUGUGUAGAUCGGCAAAGAUAAAGAGAGAGAGAGCUUCGUUGUGAGCAGAUUAGGAAAAGAGAGAGAGAGAGUUCUGUGAGUCACCUUCGUUUCGAGUAGAUCAGGAAAUGAGGGAGAGAGUGCAUUGUGAGUUGUUCGUGAACGAGAUUUUUUGUGCCCAGGUCAAAAGAAAGGAAAGGAAAAUGCGUUAAACGCACCAUUUUCAAUUUAAUCAAAACGAUGCGUUUUAAAUUCGGGGCGCAAUUCGGGGUUAAAUUCAGGAGAAAUAGCAGCGCUCUAGAUUACAAUAUAAGAACGGUAGUUGGUAGACAUAUUUUACUCUUAUAAUCGGUUUUCGAACAAUUAUUAACAUGCAUUGUGAGGGUUAAAUGUUCUUAAUAUUUAUAAAUCCUUCCCCCUUGCGAAAUGCGAGUGGAGCAUGGACAUCCCUCUUCUGUGAGGGAUUAUUUGUCUGGGCCUUACUAAAGAGAUUGAUAGUUGAAUGAACUUCCCACUUGUUCCAUUAGGAUCAAAGCGUAUAAAUAAUACAAUGAAUCAAAACUAACUUCCUCCUAUAUUUCAGCAAUAAUCAAGCUGACCUAUUCUUAAGAUAACAGAAAUAUUAUCAGGAUUACAUUCAAAAAACAAAAGAAUCUAGUUUGAAUUUAAGAGGCUGUUAUACACUAGCAGGUGGGACAGCUUUUAUAUGCCCCCUCAAGAUAGGCCACGAGUAGAGAGGCCAAUCUUGUCCCGUAAAAGCAAGAACUGAGAAGUGGGCAGUGGCUUGGUGAGAAGAUCGGCAAGCUGAUCAGCAGAGAAGACAUGAGCUACUCGAAGUAGACCAGAUUGAACUUGAUCUCUGAUAAAAUGAUAAUCAACAGCAACAUGUUUCAUGCGAGAGUGAAAAAUAGGAUUGGAACUUAACUGGGUAGCACCAACAUUAUCACAAUAGACCACUAGAGAAUUUGUUAAGCCAAUACCAAGCUUUGAAAGAAGAGAGCAAACCCAGCGAAGUUCAGCAGCAGUGGCAGCAAUAGAACGAUACUCUGCUUCGGUGGACGAACGAGCAACAGUUUGUUGCUUCUUCGAACUCCAAGAGACAAGGUUCCGCCCAAGGUAAACAAGAUAAGCGCUGGUGGAAGAGUAAUAGAGAGCUUCGUUGUGAGCAGAUUAGGAAAAGAGAGAGAGAGAGUUCUGUGAGUCACCUUCGUUUCGAGUAGAUCAGGAAAUGAGGGAGAGAGUGCAUUGUGAGUUGUUCGUGAACGAGAUUUUUUGUGCCCAGGUCAAAAGAAAGGAAAGGAAAAUGCGUUAAACGCACCAUUUUCAAUUUAAUCAAAACGAUGCGUUUUAAAUUCGGGGCGCAAUUCGGGGUUAAAUUCAGGAGAAAUAGCAGCGCUCUAGAUUACAAUAUAAGAACGGUAGUUGGUAGACAUAUUUUACUCUUAUAAUCGGUUUUCGAACAAUUAUUAACAUGCAUUGUGAGGGUUAAAUGUUCUUAAUAUUUAUAAAUCCUUCCCCCUUGCGAAAUGCGAGUGGAGCAUGGACAUCCCUCUUCUGUGAGGGAUUAUUUGUCUGGGCCUUACUAAAGAGAUUGAUAGUUGAAUGAACUUCCCACUUGUUCCAUUAGGAUCAAAGCGUAUAAAUAAUACAAUGAAUCAAAACUAACUUCCUCCUAUAUUUCAGCAAUAAUCAAGCUGACCUAUUCUUAAGAUAACAGAAAUAUUAUCAGGAUUACAUUCAAAAAACAAAAGAAUCUAGUUUGAAUUUAAGAGGCUGUUAUACACUAGCAGGUGGGACAGCUUUUAUAUGCCCCCUCAAGAUAGGCCACGAGUAGAGAGGCCAAUCUUGUCCCGUAAAAGCAAGAACUGAGAAGUGGGCAGUGGCUUGGUGAGAAGAUCUGCAAGCUGAUCAGCAGAGGAGACAUGAGCUACUCGAAGUAGACCAGAUUGAACUUGAUCUCUGAUAAAAUGAUAAUCAACAGCAACAUGUUUCAUGCGAGAGUGAAAAAUAGGAUUGGAACUUAACUGGGUAGCACCAACAUUAUCACAAUAGACUACUGGAGAAUUUGGUAAGUCAAUACCAAGCUCUGAAAUAAGAGAGCAAACCCAGCGAAGUUCAGCAGCAGUGGCAGCAAUAGAACGAUACUCUGCUUCGGUGGACGAACGAGCAACAGUUUGUUGCUUCUUCGAACUCCAAGAGACAAGGUUCCGCCCAAGGUAAACAAGAUAAGCGCUGGUGGAAGAGUAAUUGUCUUUAUUACCAGCCCAAUCGGCAUCUGAAAAGGCAUGAAGUGAAUCAGAGAAGCCAUGAAGAGUGAGGGGAGAAUUACGAUAGAGAAGAAGUCCCUUGUCUAGGGUGCCACUCAAAUAACGUAAUAUACGCUUAACAAGAACCCAAUGCUCUGUGGUAGGUUGAUGCAUAAAUUGGGCCAUUCUAUUAACUACAAACGAGAUGUCUGGGCGUGUUAAGGAAAAAUACUGCAGGCUACCAACUGCUGCACGAUAUGGUGUGGGGUCUGAGAGAGGUGUGCCUGAGGUUAAGGAGAGGGCUGCUGAGCUGGUUGGUAGGGGAGUGAGAACAGGUUUUGCAUUAUCCAUAUUGGUUCGUUUGAGUAAGUCCUCAAUGUAUCUUCUUUGGGAGAGCAGAAUGCCAAGGCGGUGAGGAACAACUUCAACUCCAAGAAAAUAAGAGAGUGAACCAAGAUCUUUAAGAGAGAAACGUUGAGCAAGACAGUCAACAAACUGUGAAACAAAAGCAUCAUUACUGCCAGUUACGAUAAUAUCGUCAACAUACAUAAGAAAAUACAGAACAUGAUGGCUGCUGCGAAGAACAAAAAGAGAUGUAUCUAAAUGUGAAUUUUUGAAGCCAGAAGCUAGUAGAAACUGACGCAAUUCAUGAUACCAAGCCCGGGGAGCUUGUUUGAGACCAUAGAUGGCUUUGUGAAGCUUACAGACAUAUGAAGGAUGAUCACGGUCCACAAAACCUGGUGGUUGAGCCAUAAAAACAUUUUCGGAGAGCUUGCCUUGAAGAAAGGCAUUGUUGACAUCCAAUUGACGGAGAGACCAGCCAUUAUUUACUGCUAUACUCAGCACAAGUCGCACUGUGGUAGGCUUGACAACUGGAUUGAAAGUUUCAUGAUAGUCCACACCCGGUCUUUGAUGAAAUCCCUUGGCUACAAGACGAGCUUUGAACCUGUCAAUAGAACCAUCAGAGUGUCGUCUAAUUCGAAAAAUCCAUUUGCAACCAACCAUAUUAGAAAUGCCAUCAGAGGGAACUAGUUCCCAGGUUCCAUUACGGACAAGGGCAUCAUACUCUUCCGACAUAGCUUGAUGCCAAUUAUGGUCUUGGAGAGCUUGUGAUAUGGAUGUAGGAGCAGCAUGUUGGGAAGUUGAUUUAUGGGUGUGAAGGUUGAGUUUUUGAAUCGGUUUAGUGAUGUUAUUCUUGGCUCGGGUAGUCAUGCUGUGUUGAGAGGGGGGUGGAACUGGUAUGUCUGGUUCGAUGGUUGGCUGGGAAGGUGGAGGAGAUGGUUGGCGGGCAAGUGGAGCUUAUUAUGGGGAUGGGUCAACUGGUUGCGAAGUAGCCUCAGGCAGAGAUAAUCCUUGAGAGCUAGCUGCAGAUGAAGUGUUGGCUGCCUGCUGGAGUGAUGUGGGAAUGGACACAGUAAGUACAGGAGGAAUCCAAGUGGAUAUGGUAGUGGAAGUAGGACGUGGAAGAGUGGUGUGCAGUGAGGUGUAUGGAAAGACUGAUUCAACAAAUUGAACAUGGCAAGAAACAUAGAUUUUUGAGGUAGAUGGUUCAAGGCAGAGAUAAGCACUUUGAGACAAAGAGUACCCAAGAAACACACAAGGGUUAGAUCGUGGAUUAAGUUUAUGUGAGGUAUAUGGGCGAAGCCAAGGAUAACACAAACACCCGAAAGCUUUUAGUUUAGAGUAAUUGGGACUUUUGUGGAAAAUUAAUUCAUAGGGGGAGGAUAAAUUUAGAGUGGUGGUUGGGAGCCUGUUAAUGAGGUAGACAACAGUAGCAAAGGCGUGAGGCCAGAAGGUGAGUGGAAGUGAAGCAUGGGAGAGUAAAGUAAGGCCAGUUUCCACGAUAUGGCGAUGUCUUCGUUCAGAGUAGCCAUUGUGUUCAGGUGUAUGUGGUGGAGUGGUUAAGUGGGAAAUGCCGUGGAGGGAAAGAUAGUCUUUGAGUGCCAUAUAUUCGCCCCCAUUAUCAGAGUAGAGAGUGAUAAUUUUUUUUGAAAAAUAAUUUUCCACAAUGGCUUUGUAACGUUUAAAGACUUCUUGAACUUCAGAUUUUCUUUUGAGGGGGUAUAACCAUAUGUAUUUUGUGAAAUGAUCAACAAAAAUAACAUAAUAUUUGAAACCAUCUUGUGACAAAAUUGGAGAAGUCCACACAUCAGAAAAAAUUAUUUCAAGUGGCUGUGUUGAGUGAAGAGAUGAAAUGGAGAAAGGCAACUUAUGACUUUUAUUGCUAAGACAAGCAUUACAGGAAAAUUCUUUUGAUAAAGGUGAAGAGGAAUCUAACUGAUAACUAGAAAUAAUGUGUUUUAAAAUGGGAAAAGCUGGAUGGCCUAAGCGAUGAUGCCAAGUUGAUGAUGUGGUUUUGACGUGAGAGAAGGCUAGAAUUGGGGAAGAUCCAGGUUGUGCAGCUGGCCACUCAUACACUCCAUCUUUAGUGUUGUCCGUCAAAAGAAUUGUCCCCGUACGAAGAUCCUUCACAUGAAAAGAAAAUGGUAAAAAUUCAACAGAGGCAUUAUUAGAGAUGCAAAAUUGAGAGAUAGAAAUUAAGUUUUUUUUCAUGGUCGGUACACAGAGAACAUCAUUCAAGGUAAAAGUGGUGGUUCUUGUUGGAAGAGAAGCAGAACCGGUGUGAGAUAUAGAUAAACCUGUACCAUCGCCGAUCAUAACAUCAUCUGAUCCGGUGUAUGGUGCAUGAAGAGACAAGUUGUUUAAGUCGGUAGUGAUAUGAUGAGAGGCUCCACUAUCUAGCAGCCAUGAUGGAUUGUUGGUGGUAGCAUUGGCAGCAUAGUGAGCCCGUGGCUGCCAAUGUGUGGCAGAGUUAGUUGUUGGUGGAGCACUUGCAAUGGAUGGUUGGAUUGGUACAAGCUGAAAAAAUGGACAGCGUUUGGCGGUGUGACCUUGAAUGCCACAGAUUUGGCAAUAUCCCUGGUAUGGACGGGGUGGAGGGCGAUUGCUUCGAAUUGAAGUACCUGAGUUGGUGGCCAUAGGAGGAUAGCCAGGGUUGGUUGCAGGUGGAUGCCAGCCUGUGUUACCCGAAGAUGAUGAGUUGUUGGGACGCCAGUUUGGAUUGGUCUUGUGUGGCCGCCAGUUGGUGUUUAUGGGAGUGGUCUUGUGUGUAGGAUUGGCAGUAAUGGGAAGGUGUAUCUCAGAUUUGGUGGUGGCUGAGAGAGUGGCUUCAAAGGUUAAAAGUUUCUCAUGAAGUUCAUCAAAGGAUAUGGAGGUGUCGUGGGCUUGAACGGCACGGACAAGCUCUUUGUAGUCAUCACCUAGUCCAUCCAAGAUCUUCUCUAUUAGAUCUUCUUCCUCCAUUGGUGCACCUAGUAUGGCCAGUUCAUCUGUACGGGCUUUGACAGAGUGAAGAAAAUCAGUGACUGUCAUUGUGCCUUUAGUGGGAUUUUUGAGAAGGUUCUUGACUUGUUUGAUGCGACCACGGGAUGGUUUGGCAUAGGUAUUUGCUAGAACAGUCCAUGCUUCCCGUGAGGUAUUGGCACGAGCAAUAAAUGAAAUGAUGGUGGGUGAGAGAGAACCUAUGAGAGCAUUUAGGAUUAAUUGGUCUUGGCGAAUCCAGAGGGUGUAGGCAGGAUUUGGUGUGGCAACAUUGUUUGUAGUUAGAGUUUGGGGUGGACAUGGUUUGGAACCAUCAAUGUAGCCAAGCAGAUCAUAGCCAAUGAAAAGUGUUUCAAAUUGAAUUUUCCAGGAGAGAUAGUUGGAGGAGGUGAGUUUGAGAGGAGCUUGUGCAGCUGUGUUGAUUGUGAGGAGUUGAGAUUCAUUGGUAGUUGGGAGAAUAGAUGUGCCGUUUGGAUUAGUCAUCACGGGAUGUGACAGGGAAAAGAGAAAGAAAUAUUAGCAGGGAAAGAGGGGCUGCUCUGAUACCAUAAAGAGAUUGAUAGUUGAAUGAACUUCCCACUUGUUCCAUUAGGAUCAAAGCGUAUAAAUAAUACAAUGAAUCAAAACUAACUUCCUCUUAUAUUUCAGCAAUAAUCAAGCUGACCUAUUCUUAAGAUAACAGAAAUAUUAUCAGGAUUACAUUCAAAAAACAAAAGAAUCUAGUUUGAAUUGAAGAGGCUGUUAUACACUAGCAGGUGGGACAACUUUUAUACUUACUUCACAAAAUUCAAUGUAAUAAUGCAAGUUCCAAUUAUGUAUAUUUGAUUGUAAAUAUCAGUGUAAUAUAUCUGCUAUAAUAACAGUUGUUGUAAAUAUCUGUGUAAUGCAGUAAUCUGAUGUGUAAUCAGUAUUUAAAAAAAAAGGCGGUUACGAAAGGUAAUGUUCACAUAGCACCCUUACUUUUAACUUAAUUUCAAAAUAAUCAAUUCAAACUAGAAAACUAUCAAAGAUCCCCUUCAACUUUGCAUGAAAAAUAUGCUUAAAUUAUGUAAUUUCUAAGCUAGUGAGAAUAAUAUUUAUAUUAAAGUAAAUUUAUAUAUUAAAGUAAAUCAUAAAUUAAUUAUAUUAUUUUUAAUACAACAUUAUAAGUCUUUUUUUAGAAAUUAUUUAAUUUUUUUAUUAAUUGUAUAAUAUUAAAAUUCAGUUCGAAUGUUUAGACCAAACUAAAUCGUAUUACUCCUAAAUAUUUGAAAAGAAAAAACUCAUAAUGCCCAUUGAGGAAACCCCUACUUGCUAAUAUAGAAAGUAAAAUAAUUUUCCGUCCAACUAUUGGAUAGUUUUCAAAUAAAUGUAUUUUUGAUAAUACCAAGCUACAUAAUUGCCAAUAAAAUAUUAUUAGUACUAACAGCUAAUAAUAAUAGUACAAUUAGAUCAUUGUAUAAGGACACCAUGAAAUAUCUAAAUAUUUGAAUAAUACUCAUGAAUAAUCUUAUGUAAAUUACUCCAUGCAAAUAUAUAUGAAAUUAAGUAAAUUAUUGCAUCUAGCAUACCAUAAUUGUUUCUUCGUGCUAUAUUAUUUUUAUGUUUACAUUUAUUCAAUAUUUUCAAGCCACAACAAUUUCUAUAAAUAGUUGUAAUAGACAUUUAUAUAUGUAAUGUUAAUAUUUGAUCUUGAUUUAUUAGUGUGCUCAUGAUUAAUGAAAUUAUAACACAACUUUAUUGUUGACGUUAUUAAUAGCUAUCAUUGAUAGCCAUUACUAUCAUUAUUAUUAUUAGAUUUAGAAGCUGCUAGAGUCAAAAUAUAAUUCUGUAACCACAACAUCCUCUAGAAUUCGAGUGAUAGCCAAACAGAAAGGACAAUGUUGCCCAUCGUCAAUUUGAUUAAAUUGAACUCAAUUAUGAUACUUAUUUCAAUUCUAUAAAUUAUUUUAUCAGACUGUGUGCAAUUGUGUACAGUAUGGUCUAUAUAUAAAAUUAUUUUCCUAUUAUUUUUUUUAAGAAGACAAUGAGUGUGUGCAAUUGUGUACAGUAUGGUCUAUAUAUAAAAUUAUUUUCCUAUUAAUUUUUUUUAAGAAGACAAUGAGUUUAAAUUCAACUAUAAUACUUAUUAUUAAUUUGCUUAAAUUGAACUCAACUAUGAUACUUAUUAUCAAUUUUAUAAAUUAUUUUAUCAGAAUGUGUAAUUGUGUACAGUGUAGUCUACACACAAAAUUAUUUUCCUAUUAUUUUUUUUACUAAGACAAUGAUUUUGUUAGUUAUCAUCUCAAUUCUCAUUAACCAAAUUCUAUUACGUAACUAGCAAUAUAAUAUAGAUAAUUAUAAAUUCACUAUACCUGAGUAAUAUCCAUAUUUAAAAAAAGAAACAUUGAAUAAUAUUAUUUUUUAUAUUUUAUAAUUAUAUAAUCUAGACAUGGUAGUUACAUGUUCAGAUUUAUAUCAAAUUAAUUUGUGUAGUACCGCACAACAGAGGUGGUUACGUGAAAUAUAUAUACUAACUAGGAAAUAGAACCGCACUUCAUGCAGUUUUAAAAAAAGAAUUUAAUAUUAUCUUUUUUAUUAUUUUGCACUCGAUGAAACUGAUAAAAAAUAUGAAUUAUUAUUUUUAAAUAUGACGUAGCCUUAUAAAGCUAAUGUUAUUUAUGAAAGUUUAUUAUUUUUUUGUUAACAUUAAAAAAAUAUAUUAAUGUGUAUAAUUAAGUGUACACAACCUUUUCAUCAAUAACAAUCAUGUUCACAGUCAUCAACUCUCUAUUUUUCUUGGUAUUAACAGACUCCCACAUCUUACAAAGUCUAACCCUUAUCAUCCAACUAUCUUUAUUAUUGUUUAAUUCAUGAAGAAAAGAAUACUCCAUGAAGCACACAAUACUAAAAAUUUAAAUAAGUUAAAAAAUAAAAACACAAUAACAUUUCUAAAGAGGAUGUUGGUUAAAUAAUAAAAAAAAAAACUCAAACAUAACAAAACUUAAAUGCUUAAUAUUUAUAGAGUUUGAAGAAGUCAAAAGACACUAAAUAAAAAGUUGCAUACAUCAUACUCAUCUCAAAUUCUUUGCUCAUACACGAUGAAAAUUCUUUACAUAACAACUCAUUAGUAGAACCAAAAAUAAUAUCAUCAACAUAAAUUUGAACAAUAAGUACUGCUGUACCGUACCUAAUGGCAUUGGUGAGGGAAGAUGAAGGAAUCUUCCUUCUUAUAUUAAUUAGUUGAUGUAUUUCAAACCACUAAAAUUUAGUUGUUGGCUUAAUAAAAUAAAUGAAUGUUUCAAAACUUAUAAUUAAUUUAUUAUUAAUGGUUACAUAUUGUUGAAUUUCAAUAGAAAGAGGAAGAGACAUGCAAUCUUUUGUAAUCUAUUAAUUAUUUUCUAUUUUUAAUAUUUUGAAAUGUAAUUAUUUUUUAAUCUCAACCAAUAUAUUAGAUAAUAGAGAAUAAAAAAAGAUGAGAAAUAAUGAUGCCAUAAAUCUUAACUACUUAAUAUUUAUAGAGUCUGAAGAAGCCAAAAGGUACUAAACAAAAGAUUGAAUAAUUAAAUAUGAGAUUAUGACAUUAAAAUUAGGCUUUAAUGGCAUUGUUGAGGGAAGAUGAAGGAACCUUCCUUCCUAUAUUAAUUAAUUGAUAUAUUUAAGCCACUAAAGUUUAAUUGUUGGCAUAAUAAAAUAAAUAAACGUUUCAAGAUUUAUAAUUAAUUAUUAUUAAUGGCUACAUAUUAUUGAAUUUAAAUAGAAAGAGGAAGAGACAUGUAAUCUUUUAUAAUCUAAUAAUUAUUUUUUAUUUUUAAUAUUUUGUAAUGUAAUUAUUUUUUUAAUAUCAACCAAUUUAUUAGAUAAUAGAGAAUACAAGAAGAUGAGAAAUAGUGAUGCUACAUCUCCUCUUGUCCCAACUUUAUAUAUAUAUAUAUAUAGAGAUAGAUAGAUUUAGAUUUUUAAUAUUUUGUAAUGUAAUUAUUUUUUAAUCUCAACCAAUAUAUUAGAUAAUAGAGAAUAAAAAAAGAUGAGAAAUAAUGAUGCCAUAAAUCUUAACUACUUAAUAUUUAUAGAGUCUGAAGAAGCCAAAAGGUACUAAACAAAAGAUUGAAUAAUUAAAUAUGAGAUUAUGACAUUAAAAUUAGGNNNNUUAUUAUUAAUGGUUACAUAUUGUUGAAUUUAAAUAGAAAGAGGAAAAGACAUGUAAUCAUUUAUAAUCUAAUAAUUAUUUUCUAUUUUAAUAUUUUAUAAUGUAAUUAUUUUUUAGCAGCAACAAAUUUAUUAUAUAAUUAUAUAUUAACUGAUAUCUUUAUUAUUAAUAUAUUUUUUUAUCUUUAUUUUUUUUAGUGUCAUAUUAUGAUAUAUAUACAAAGAAUAUCCACCAAUAUUUUAGAUAUUUUAGAUAAUAGAGAAUAUAAAAAGAUGAGGUUGAGGGAAGAUGAAAGAACCUCUCUUCCUAUGUUAAUUAGGUGAUAUAUUUUAAGGCACUAAAGUUUAAUUGAUAGCAUAAUAAAUUUUGAAGAAGCCAAAAGACACUCAACAAAAGGUUGCAUAAUUAAAUAUGGCAUUAUGACAUUAAAAUUAGGCCUUAGUGGCAUUGUUGAGGGAAAAUGAAAGAACCUCUCUUCCUAUGUUAAUUAAUUCAUGUAUUUUAAGCCACUAAAGUUUAAUUGGUAGCAUAAUAAAAUAAAUAAAUGUUUCAAAAGACUUAUAAUUAACUAUUAUUAAUUAUUACAAAUUGUUGAAUUUAAAUAGAAAGAGAAAAAAAAGUACAAAGAAUAUCUACCAAUAUUUUAGAUAAUAGAAAAUAUAAAAAGAUGAUGAAUGAUAUAUAUUAAUAAAGUUACUGUUUAUUAAAUAAGUUAAAUAAAUAUAAUGAAAUUAAUUAUGAGAAGAUGAAAAGCCAAAUCUAAAAAAAAAUUCUCUAUUUAUUAGAUAAUAGAGAAUAUACAAAGAAGUGAAAUGGUGAUGCCACAUCACCUCCUCAAGUCCCAACUUUAUAUAUAUAUAUAGAUAGAUAGAUAGAUAUAGAUAGAUAGAUAGAUAGAUGGAUGGAUGCGCAAUUCAUUGUUAGCAUUGUAAAACUUGUUCAUUAGUAAUGCAUAAUAAAUGAAUUGUCAAUGAAAUAUAGCUGUUUAAAAAUAAGUGUUAUAAACAUAAAUUUAUUGUUAAUAAGUAAAAUAAAAUAUAAUAAAAUGACUCUUUUUUAUUUGGGAUAAGGGUCAUUUUUCAAGACAUUGUUACCAAUAGCCAAUGCCCAGUUUAGGUACAACAGAAAUACAUCAACAUCAUCCAAAAAAAAUUUCAUUUUAUUGUUCAUUAUCAACUAAUUCAGCUGAAAUCCUAUGCCUACCAGAUCUACAGCUUCAUAUUGAGGACCUUUAAUUUUGUUAUUCCCAAAUAAAGUUUUAUGCUUUUAGGUUAAUUAUUUGCUUAAUGGGGCUUUUCAUUGGAUUUUUAGGCUGUUGUGGGUAUGAUAAGCAAAAAGUAAAGGUGCAUUAUGCACUUUCUUUUUCUUCUAUGUCCGGUAAUGUAUAUUUUUUUCCUAUGAUAUAUGAACUUUCAAAUUGUAUUGAUAACAGGUGAAAAAAUAAAAUUCAUGGCUUAUUACUUGAUUCUUUUUGUGUGUAUGUCAAUACGAGUAUACGACAUGUCAAAUCUACGUAUUUGGAAUGGACGGAAUAGUGAGUUAUAACAAUGUUUGAGCUGUUUCAAAUAUUUUAUAAAAGCUAUUACCAAUUUUCUUCGCUAGAGUUCAUGAAUGCAAUUCACUAAUCCUUUCACUGUAUCAACUUUAGAGAUGUUGUUAAUUUGUUCCCAAUAUGUUUAAUUCAUUUGAAAAAAAAUUCAAUGUUUAUUAUAUUUGGCUGGUGAAUUCCUGAGCAUUCUUCUUCUUCUUCUUCUUCUUCUUCUUUUUUUUCUUUUAUACUCUAGAACAGUUUUGCCUUCCUGUAGUCAGAUGUUCAGUGUUAUGACCUGUCAUAAUAAUAACAGAAUUGUUUUUUUUUUUUUUUUUAGCUGAUUUUGCAGAGCAUGGAGAAACUUUCCAAUUUAUUGCCUAAUUGGAAAGUCUUCUAUGAAACUAGGUGAAAAUUGUUUAAUUGCAGAGCAUGGUGAUAAAUUGUCCUUGUGCUGACUAUAUGGCGAAAAUUUUAUGUGUAAACAAAUGCCAAAAAUCAAUGAGUAGAAAUUAGUUUGAGAUGAAAAUUGUUUAAUUGCAAAGCAUGGUGAUUAAUGUUGCUGUGCUGACUAUAUAGUGAAAUUUUUAUUCGUAAACAAAUGCCAACAAAUCAGUAAGUAGAAAUAAUUUUGUAAGGUAAUGGGAUUAGGUUUUGGAGUAUUUUUUUCCCCAUUUUCAAACCAUGCAGGUUGGCUUUUCCAUUUGCUGUGUAGAAUAAAUGCAUUGUUGGCUGGAACUCGGUAUUUCACAGUCUAGGCUGCGUGAAUGCUGGUUCAAAAGAGAAGCAAGAUUUAUAACACUAUAUUUUAUAGAAGGAAAAUAGGACUUCAUUGUUUUAUUUAUUUUUUAUUUGCUAAUUGCAAAAUUGCCAUUUAAGAGAAGGGUAUUGCUUUUAGGUUGAAUCUGUUUAUAAAGUUGAAAGAUAUUUGGAAUUCUAUAUUUCUUCGUGUUGUUUAUUUAUAAAACUUUGUUUAGUUUAAUCCCUAAAUUUUUUAAAUCAUUUCUUGCUAAUUUUUCUUGUUUCCUUUGCUUAGUAACCUUUUUGAAAAUUGGUGUCAGUAAAUCUUAAUUCUUAAGAUUUUAGGGAGAAAAAGAAGCUGGAUUACUCAGCUUAUAUGUUUCUAAAAUUUCCUCAGUCUUGUAUUCAUGUAUAAUUUUAGCUACCCUGCAUAUAAUUUUAGUGGCAGUUGGUAAUUUGUUGUCAUAAUAUGAUUUCUUUUUUCUUUUCAGGGCCAUUGGGCAUUCUGCAAGUCGGGAUAAAUUAUCUUGUUAUUUCGUAUCGGGGUAAAAGCUCGUUUAGUCCCUAUAUUUUGAGGUUAGUGUCCGUUUAAUCCUUAUAUUUUUUAAAAUACCUCAAAGCAUCCCUAUCAUUAAAUUAUUGACAUCAUUGCCAUUACCUUUUGUUCAUUUUAACUUAUUUUUAUAAUAUUAUUCUAUUACAAUAAUGUUCCUUUUUAUAAACAUUAUUAAAAAGAAAAAUUAAAUUACCAGUUUAACACCAAAAAAUAAAAUAAAAACAAUAUAUAUAUAAAAAAUUUUGUGGAACACUCUGCUGAGAAGUUAAAAUAUUAAUUUUUAAAAAAUUUGAUAAUUUAAUUUUUUACAAAAUUAAUUUUUUUGGACACACAUGAGCUUCCACAAAAAUUAAUAUAUAUCUUUUUUGUUUUUUAUUUUAUUUUUGGGUUUAAUUUGAUAAUCCAAUUUUUUUUAUUAAUAUCUAAAAAAUAAACAUUACAGUAAGAGUGUAAAAUUGUAAAAACAUACUAAAAAUAAUAAUAAUGGCAUAAGUGUCAAUAUUUAAUAAUAAGGACGUUUUGAUAUAUUAUUUAAAAUAUAGGAUUAAAUGGGCACUAAACUCAUAAUAUAGGGACUAAACAAGCUUUUACCCUUUCCUAUCGUAUUGUUUCCUCUUGAAAUAAUUACAGUAUGGAUGUGGUAAAAAUUGCAAUUCAGCUGUCAGUGCUCCGAAUUUUUCCUUUUUCUCUUUACUUUUGUUGGUGAGGAUUUUAUCCUUCACUUCAUUUGAGAUGAAAGUACUGGUUGAACUCUUGAACUUUCUAUUAGUCGAUUAAUUGUGGAUUGACAGUGCUAAGCGCUUAAUUCUGGAUUUCUUUGUUGAUUUGAAUGUGAUUUCAGUUGCAAUUCUUUAUUUUGUAUUGCAAAAUUAUCAAAUUUUUACAAAAAUAAAUGUGAUAACACUUUUACUAAAAAGAUUAUUAACUUUGUUGAAGAGUAUGGUUAUUAUGCAUUUUCAGAAUUUAUACUAGGAUUCUCAUUAUUCAAAAAAUGUUGGUAAUUAAUUUUAACAAUGUAAAUGAUAAAUGAGCAUAGCAUCAUAUUUUUUAGAAAACAUACAUAAUAAUGCUCAUUGUAAACCCAAAAUUUAUAUAUAUAUAUAUAGCUAACUAAUUAUAAUAUUUUAAAUGAUAAAUGACCAUAAAUAUGUGCAAAGUCGAUACUUAAGUAUGGAUGAUCAAAUCUCUUAAAGUAAUGAACAUAGAUAUCUUUUAAAAAAAAGCUAUUUCAACACUAGUUCUUAAGUUUUGUAACUCAUAUAAAUAUAAAUUGUGUAAUGAAAAUGUUAUUAAUAUUUUUUGUAAUCUAAUAAUAUUUCAAAAGUAGUGUAGGGCAUAUAUAUCUUUAUUUACAUUUAACUAUAAAUCUCAAGUGUAUGAUGAUGAUGAUGAGAAUGGUAGUAGUAGUAAAAAUAAAUAAUAGUAGAAGUAAUAAUACAAGUAAAAUAUUAGGCUUGUCUUGAUUAAAACAAAAAAAUACAAACAUAAAUAUAAUAAUAAUACUUAUAAUAACAUGAAUUUUUGGUUAAAGUGAUCAAAACUUAAUGAAACUAUUUUGAAAAGAAAAUAGAGUGGAAAAAUUUUUAUAUGAAUUCAAAAAAAAAAUUCUGAAAGCAAAUGAUAAAUUCAAUAAAAGGAAUAAGUAUGGAUCUCAAAAUUAACUUGAAAUAUACACUUCAAAUGUUGGAAUUCACUAAAAAGAGUAGGAAUAUAAAACAAACAAAUGAUGAAAACAAAAGUAGAAGAGUCAACUAAAGAAGUUGGAAAGGCUUAACAAGAAUUUGAUAAAUUACAUACGGAUCUAAAAAAUCGACUUAGAACAUCUCCGCAAAAUGUUGGAACUUAAUGAACAUAGUAGGAAUUUGUAAAAAAAGAAAUGGUGAUAAAAUUCAUGACCAUAUCUCUUGAAGUAAUGAAUUUCGGUAUCAAUUAAAUAAAGAUAUUUUUGCACUGGUUUUUAAUUUUGUAACUUAUAAAAUCAGUAUUGAUAGCUUAAUAAUAUAAAAAUAGUCCAAAAAUAGCAAUAGGCUUUAUUGUUUAUUUUUCAAGUUUAUAUUGUAAGUUGAUAUUUGUAAAAAUAAGAGGGGAUCACUCAAAAUUUACCUCAAUAUCAUAAUCAUUUACUGUAAAAAAAUGAGACUUGAAACAACUACCUAGAAUGUUGGUAUGCAGUGAAAACAAAUGGAAUAUACAAAUAAAUAAAAAAGGUGGAAAUAAGAGUUGAAGAACUUAACCUAAUUGAGACGAUUUAUCAAUAAUUUGAUAAAUUUCAAUAGGAAGUAAAAAUCUAAAAAAUGAACUCAAAAUAUUGACCUAAAUGUUGGAAUUCAACAACAAGUGUGGGCAUAUAGAACCAAAUAAUGGUAGGACAAAAGUGGUAGAGUCAACCCAAAAGUUGGAAUUACUAAAUGAUAAUUUGAUAAAUUCCAACAACAAAUAAGGAUCUAAAAAAUAAACUUGAAAUUUCUCCAAAAAAAUAUUGGAAUUCAUUGAAACAAAAGCUAGAAUAUAGAACCAAUGAAUAGUGGAAAAAGAAUUGAUGAAUUCAACCCAAAAAUUGUAAACGACUUAUUAGGAAUUUGAUAAAUUCCAAUGGCAAGUAGGAAUUUAAAAAAUAAACUUGAAAUUUUUACCCAAAAUAUUAGAAUUCAAUAAAAAGAUUAGAAAUAUAGAACCAAAAAGUAGUGGAAAGAAAAACCUAACCCAAAAUUGGGAACUACUCCCAAAGAAUUUGAUUAAUUCCAAUUAGAAGUGGGGAUCCAAAAGUAAACUUAAAACUUCCACCUAAAAUAUUGAAAUCAAUAAAAAGAGUAUGAAUAUAAAAUCAAAAGAUGGUGGAAAUAAGGGUUAAAGAAUUUAACUAAAAGUGGGAACAACUCACCAAGAAUUUAAGAAAUUUCAAUGUGAUGUAGGGAUCUAAAAAGUGAACUUGAAACAUUCGCUCAAAAUAUUGGAAUUUGAUGAAGAAGAGUAGAAAUAAAAAAUUAAAAAGUGAUGGGAACAAAAGUUAAAGAGCUUAACCUAAAAGUUGGAAUAAUUUACUAAGAAUACAAUAAAUUUUAAUGAGAAGUAGGGAUCUAAAAAACGAACUUGAAAUUUUCACCUAAAAUGUUGGAACUCAAUAAAAAAAAAAAGAAAUAGGAAAAUAGAACCCAAAAGUGGUGGGAACAAGAGUUGAUGAACUUAACACAAAAAUUAAAAUAACUUACUAAUAAUUUGAUAAAUACUGACGAGAAAUAGGGGUAUAAAAAUGAACUUGAAACUCCCACCCAAAAUGUUAGAAUUUUGUAAAAAGAAUAGGAGUAUAGAAUUUAUAAGUAGUGGAAAAAUGAGUUGAUGGACUUAACCCAAAAGUUAGAAUAACUUACAACAAAUUUGAUAAAUAUCAAUGCUUAGUAGAGAUCUAAAAAGUGAACUAUAAACAUUUCUCCAAAAAAUUGAAACUCAGUGAAGAUAAUAGGAUAACUCAAAAGUUGUGGGAAAAUGAGUAGGAAUAACUUACGAAAAAUUAGAUAAAUUCUAACAUAGCUUAGAGAUAUAGAAAGUAAACUUGGAAUACCUACAUAAAAAGUUAGAAUUUAAUGAAAAGAGUGGAAAUAUAAGGAAAAAAGCUGGUGAGAAUAUGAGUUGAAACAACUUACUAAAAUUUAAAUAAAUUAUAACAAGAAGUAGGAACUUGAAAAGUAAACUUGAGAUAUACAAUAUAAAUAUUAGAAUUAAAAAAAAUAAAUAAGAACUUGACUAUUUUGUAGCAUAUUCAUAGUAUUUUUAUAAGUUUUUGUGCUAUUUAUAAAUUUAAGGUUACUAGAUUGUUUUGCCUCAUAUAAGUGCAAUUUUUCACUUUUCCCCCCAUUUUUUAAUAAAAUUUUCACAUUAAAACAAAUAAAAUGUAAUUUUUUAAUCAAUUUGUUUCGAGAAUUCCUCAAUGGCUGACCCGCUGUUAUCUCUCGCCAUCUCAAAAAAAAAUUUUAAGGCACCUUGGAUGGUUCAUAGUCAUUGGCCCAAUUGUCGUGUAAUGAUUUCACACGUCCUUCAAUUACACUCCGUUUAUCGUGCAGACAAUCCGCGAGUUUCAAAUUGGAUGAGGAUGUCCUCAAUUUUCUUGGUUUAAUUCUCCUUCUCCUUAAGAUUAAGAAGCUCUUUUCAAGGAUAGAUUGGGUUUUCCUAACUAUAGAUUCUCUUAACCUUUGUCUUAUUGUCUCUACAGUGUGUUUUAGGAGAUAAAUCCCUCUAUAAUUUUGUAUUGACUUUAUUUUUCUUU